GGAGAAGCCAUAUCGGGAACUGAUAAUGGGCUUGGGCUUGGGCCCAUAGGAGUAGUUGGUUGGGCCAUUGGGCUUGAAGAUGGAGUCAUUGGCAUCAUAGGUGGUGGAGUCAUGGGCAUUGGUGGUGGAGCCAUGGGCAUAGGUGGUGGAGUCAUAGGCAUAGGUGGUGGAGCCAUAGGCAUAGGUGGUGGAGUCAUCAUUGGCAUCGGAGAGCUGCGGCCGCUAGACAUCGGCGGCAUCGACAUUGAGCCAGAAGGAGCCAUCAUGGGAGAUUGAGCUAAAGAGAAAUGAAUUAAAACCAUAGGCAAUGUGACCAAAAGGAGGGCUUGUGAAGAGGCCAUGGUUAUGUGUGUUGAAUAGUGGGUGUUAUGUAAAGUGAUAUAUAGAGAGAGGUAUGUGAGUUGUAAAAGAAUGGGAGAGAAAAGUGAAGGUUCUUUGUGCUAUUGGGGAUAUAUAUUAGAGAUUAUUUGUUUUUAUUUUUGGACCGUUGGAUAUAGUGUGUGACACGUAUCAGUCGAUAGAUAGGUAUGAGAUGCUGAUUUAUUUUCCUCCACAUGUUGAAAAAAAAAAAGAGAUAGAAGAAAAUUCCAAAGUGAAAUUUCUUUGUAGGUACAGAUAGAAUAAUCAAUACACAUGAAAAUGGGACUAUUAUGAUUAUAAUGCAUUUUAUUUUCAUUCUUUAGUGGAACCAUCAAUCGGAUUCACGGGUUGGUUUUUAAGGGGGCCAUAUAUCAAAAUUAUUAGGAAUGUCAUUUAAUGGUGUUUGUUAGUCAUUAAUAUGCUAAAACGAUGAAAUUUUGAAAUGUUAGUAGACUUUUAUAACCAAGUCAAGAUAUAAUUUCAUCAGAAAAAAACAAUUUAUAUGGAAAAGGAUAAAAGACCAUAAUGCUAUGGUACAAGAGAAAAGACAAAUAGGGACCAUUUGUGUUGCAUUUGGUCACACAGGCCUAAUAAGCUCCACGGCCAAUAUUAUGUCCGCACCCACUAACCGACAUUUUUGGUUACCCCAUACUCUUUUCUUUUUUCCUCUCACGAGUACUCUUUGUCCCUCAUUUACUAUUUAUCCAUCUUUUAAAUUAUACUUUUUAAAACAAACAUGUAACAUGUUCUAUACAUAUAUAUAUAUACUUUGAUUUCGUUGUUUUAUUGUACAUUUCUUCAGCUCGUUUGAAUUUAACCGUUAUGAUCGUCCCUUGAUCAAAUGUAUUCUCUCAACUCAUUAGUUCAGGAUCCAGGAAAAUUAGAUGAAAUAGACAAAUAGUACAUGCAUCACUUGAAGUAACUAUAAUUACUAUACCGUUAAAGUAGUUGUAUAGAGAUUUCAAUAUUAUAACGUUAGGGCUCUAAAUAUAUGGGCUCAUUAUAAAUGGGCAUGUAGUCGCAUGAGGCCGAAUCCCAGCUGGCAGAGAAAUGAGCGGGAAAUUUUAUGUACAAAAUGCUCGAAACAAUGUCACACGUAGCGCACGUGCCAUUCUCCCGCCCGUUUCUCCAUUUUCCCCAAAUCUCAAAUUCUCAAUCCCUAGUUUCUCUCUCUCCCCAGAUUCACAGCAUUUGCAUUUUGCAAUGUCUGAAGACUCGGAACCGCGUCAACUCGGGAGAUCGACCGCCGGCGGAGAGCUAAUAGGUCUUGGUCUCACUGAGUCAGACGGCGAGGAGCAUUUCUAUCACCAGAAAGCUUUGGAGUUAUGUCGUCACCUACUCUUCGUUGGCCACUCAGAACUAGUUACAGAUCUUUCUUCACAAUGUACACACUUCCAAGCUUCGCCUGAGCUCGUCAAAGUUCUUUGCUCGAUUCCUAAUUCCCCUGUCUCCCUUACCGGAGACGGCUUAUCCGUGACUCUCUCGCGCGAGUUGCUCUCCGAUCCGGCCUGUUUCGCCUGUAGUUUGGGUGUGCCGGAAAAUGUUUUGUUUGAACAGAUUACGCGUUUCUCGGAUCCGAGAGCUCCCAAGCCUAAGCGAAAUGGUCUCGGGCAUAUGGGAGGUACUAACUUAGCACUUGUUUCAUUUUAGUCGUUAUCUGGCAUCUGAUUUUGUUGUUUAGUAGUCACACUUACAUAGAGAUUCUCUUCUUGAUUAUGGAUUAUUAUGAAAAAUUUCAGAAAAUGAGGAGCAAGAAGAGCUGCAGCUCAUGCCAUUGCCCAAAAGAAGCCGAAAGGAGGAACCAGAUGUAAGUAAUCUCUUUUAACAAAAAGAUGAAUUUCUCAAGGUAUAAUUCAAUUUCAAAAAUGGGGAGUUGAUUCAUUGAUUUUUUUUUUUCUAGGUGAAUGACUACUCUGUAAUGGAUAGCAGAGCUAACGACAUGACAAAUAUUGCCAAUGGGUCCAUGCUUGAGACACUGAAAGCUUUUGAAUCCCAAGCUUCGCUUUUAGUUUUAGGUAGAGAUGGUCGAGAAAUAGGAGCAUUUGACCAAAGUCCUUGGUCUGGUCCACGGACUAGAAUUUUUGGAUGCGAGAUUUUCUCCAAUGCUUGUGUGGAUGUCGAUCCUAUGCACUGCUUGGGGGAACGCAAGCAAGAUUCGCCAUCUCCUCGAGAGGUUGGAUACUGUAAGCAAAUUGAGAUUGAAGAUUUUCAAAUUGUUGAUAACCUAAGAUUAUUCGAAGACGAUGAGGAUAAAAACGAGAAGGAUUUGUUCCAUAAGGGGGAGAUACGAACUCCCGAUGUGCAGUCCGAUCCUGCUGCCCCUUCGAUGCCAUCAGAAAAUGAGUUAAAAUCUGUAUAUAUUGUAGAGGACACUGAAGAUAUGCUUGCCUUGAGUUGUAACCCAUUAAAGCAAGAGGACAACGCUGUAGACAUCUUCAGCACCCCUGUCAAAGAGCUGCCUUUGAUGCCUUCUGCAACAAUAGCUAAUCAAGAUAGAUCCUUGGUACAGAAAACACAGGAUCUGUGCAAAUUAUCGGGAAACAGCAAAGGUUACAGCUGUUCCCCUGAGAAAAAACACACCAGGAAAUGUAAAGCUAUCCAGAGGUCAAAGCAGAAUCUUAACUCCGUUCGACCUAAAGAUCAGAAGGUAGACAUUUCUUUUUUAUCUAGAGUGAGCCCCUUGCAAUUCCGUUUUUUUAUUUAUUUAAACAGCUUUCCAUGUUGCUGAAAGUACUUUUAUACCAACAUUGAGGAUUAAUCCACUAUAUUAAGAUUUCUCAUAUCUGUUGUUUAGGAUGAGUCAAAACAGAACACUUUUCCAGUUUUUGAUUCUUACACUAUUGUAGAGGAAGAAGGCUCAGGUACAUUUUCCUUACAAUUUCAUCUAUAUUCCUGAUUUUGUUGAAACAGCUUAAUUGGUUAUCGGCUAAUGAUUGGUGAAAUCCAACUGUAGGUGGCUACGGGAUUGUUUAUAAGGCAAAGAGGAAAACCGAUGGAAAAGAGUUUGCCAUUAAAUGUAUGAAACAGAAUGAUAUGUUGCUAGAUUUUUUCACUUCGUCACAUCGUUUUUGGUUGGCAAUUUGGUCUCAUGUGUUUUCCAUACAGGUCCCCAUGCUGGUGCUCAGAAAUACUAUGUUAAUAAUGAACUCCGAAUGCUGGAGCGUUUUGGGUAAGUAACAAAGUUUGAUCCGCUAAUGAACCUCCUACAUAUUUAAACCCAAAUAUCUGAAAUUGCCUAAAUGUUGGUUCACUUAGGGGGAAAAACUUUAUAAUAAAGUUUGAAGGCUGUCUUAAGAACGGAGAUUCCGAUUGCAUGAUCCUUGAGCACCUUGAACAUGACAGACCUGAUUGUUUGAGGAGAGAAAUAGACGUGUAUCAGCUACAGUUGUACGGAUACUGCAUGUUCAAAGCUCUGUCAAGUCUUCAUAAGCAGGUAAAGCAGAUGUUGGACUAAAACUUUUGAGCAUUCAUAUUUCAAUCACGCAACUAACCAGUUAUAUUGUUUUCUUUUGCAAAUGUGAAGGGUGUUGUUCAUAGGGAUGUUAAGCCAGGCAACUUUCUUUUCUCUAGGAAGAGUAGCAAAGGCUGUCUCAUUGACUUUAACCUCGCCAUGGUUAGCAUUUUUCUGGCACCCUUCUCUUAUUAAUACUUUUCUAGCAACAUUUAUUGGUUAGUGUUUUGUAUAAUAGAAUUUGAGGUUACGAAACCUGUUUAGUGCUCUUAUAUAAUAUUUAGGUCAGUGUCUACUAGAGGCACUGAAAAGCUUGAGCUGAGCUAUCACAAACGUUUGUGUUCAUAGUUUGUGUUAUGUUCCCACCCACUGAUAUUAAUUUCACUUUCCUCUGUGGCUUAAUUUAGGAUUUGCACCAGAAGCACAGGAGAGCCGGUAAACUUCUCCCCUCAUGCAUUUGGGUUGAAUUAAGUAAAACAAAUGGAAACUAAAGCUAUCCCUUAUAUGUAUAUCAGAUAAAUCAAAAGCAGCUACAGAUCUCCCAACCGCCAGCAAGAAGCAUCAUACUUUGAUUAAAUCUCCUGACACGACCAACCGAGUGACCAACAAAUCUUCUCAGAAAACUUUAGCGCCAAAUAGUCUGAAGAAAGCAGCGGGAAAGAUAAGAGCUCAGACUGACAUGAGUAGAUGGGAGAGGUUCAAUAGCCAAGGCGCGGAAGGGUCUGGCUUAACUUCGGCCAAAGAUGUGACCAGCACAAGGAACCACCCUUCAGGUGAAAAGAGGAGAGAGCCUUUGCCAUGUCAUGGAAGGAAAGAGCUUCUAAACUUUCUGCAAGAGACAAUGUCUGGUUCAAUUCCAAACCACGAAGUAUCAUCCAAAGCUCCUACAUCUAUGAGAAAACGUGUUGCUGCUCAUCCAGGGAAAGCUGAGAAACAGCUUCUUCAUCUGACCCCAAUGCCGCUGCGCUCUAAUGGUCGGCGUGAAGCAGGUGGAUUCCUGGUGUAUAAUUUGACUCUUGUUUUUUGUUUCAGAGUUUAACUUUAACCCUAAGAAAAAAAUCUGACUUACUAGGGGAUGUAAGUAAGAAGAAAGAUGGUCCUUGCUCAGGAACGAAAGGCUACCGAGCACCAGAGGUACGUCAACUGUAACUAUCGCUCACUUUGCUUAUAUGGUAGAGAGAGAGAAUGUUAGUGGGUUUAGGCUUCCGAGUUACUAGUAAAUCCAUUUAUAUAUCAUACAAAUCUUAUGCUUUGAGCUACUUAUUAGAACAUUUUAUGAUGGGAAAGCUAAUUCUCUGGGGCGGUUCUUGGCUGAAUUGGCUUGUGCAGGUUUGCUUAAGAUCUUUGCACCAAGGACCUAAGAUCGACGUGUGGUCUGCAGGAGUUACUCUAUUAUAUCUAAUGAUGGGAAAAACACCUUUUACUGGUGACCCUGAACAGUUAAGAUUUGUAAUUGACUUACUUUGCCAUCACUUCAUUGCAUUCUGUUUUCUUUCUUUCCUUCUUACAACGGCCUCUUGAUUCUCAGGAACAUAAAGGACAUUGCGCAGCUACGAGGCAGUGAAGAAUUAUGGGAAGUAGCCAAGCUGCAUAACCGUGAAUCUUCUUUCCCUGAGGUAAUAAUCGCACCUUAUCACCCUUGUAGACUCUUCUUUGCAUCGAUUGCUGCAUUUGUGUGGCAUAAUAUGGCUAUGUACACAUGGUCGGUUCUUAAAUCUAGAGAAAGAGAAGGUUGAUCUGGCUAAUAUCGCAUGCUCUGUUCUCCUUUACCGCCAGCAUUUGGAUUUAAAUAUCAAAUACUGUAAGAGGGUUUUCAGUUAUAGCGCUUUGGGUCCUAUUGCGGAAAACGGGGUAUAUAUUAUUAUAUACAUUACAUGAUCUGAUACGUUGUAUGGAUAGAUGAUAAAAAAGAGAUGAAUUCACGUAGCAAUUUUGUUUUUGCUCCAGGAAUUAUACGAGUCAAGGUACUUGAAGAGGAUGGAGCUGAGAAAAUGGUGCGAAAUCAACACAAAACGCAGAGACUUCCUAGACGUGAUUCCACGGUCGCUGCUUGACCUUGUUGAUAAGUGUUUGACUGUUAACCCAAGGCUACGAAUCGGCGCAGAGGAUGCUCUCAAGCACGACUUCUUUUAUACAAUCCAUGAAAAUGAAACCCUUAGAAAACAAAGGCUCCUAAAGCAGCAGCAAACGGGAACGCAGCCUCCAGUGGUGGCUAAUUCAGUAGGCCAACCGCUAAGCUAGAAAUCACAAAUGUAAAUUAAGUAAUAACAAAAUAUUAUAUGAAAGCUUCACUCCACAGGCCACACCACAAAUCCCAUAGUAGUAUAUGUCUAUAUGACUAGGGAACAUAUCAUAUUUGUUAUUAGAAGCAAGUCUAACUUCACUUGGGCCUUAAAUAAAUUUCGUGUUGGGAAUUGAUAUCAUUCAGUAAAAGUCCAAAAGUCUCUCGUCUGCGAAAUGGAAGAGAGUAAUGUCAAGUUUGUUUCUCACAGACUCACCCUAUGAAUUGCCGUGCAGCGUACGGAUCUUCUUAUUUUCUCUCAAUCUCUUCCUGUGACAGGAUUCUUCAUCACUAAUCUGCAACGAAUACUGGUUCACUUCCAUGGCGUCUUCUUCUUCUCGUUCCUGGAGAUACGAUGUUUUCCCGAGUUUCAGCGGUGAAGUUGUCCGCAAAUCAUUCCUCAGCCAUCUUCUGAAGGAGCUUGACCGCAAAUCAAUCAAUGCAUUUAUAGAUGAUGGGAUCGAGAGAAGCCGCCCGAUCGGCCCUGAGCUUUUAUCGGCGAUUAGAGAAUCGAGGAUCUCAAUCGUCGUCUUCUCAAAGAGUUAUGCUUCUUCCACGUGGUACCUGAAUGAAUUGGUGGAUGGAGAUCCACAAGUGCUAUAUGGAGUUUGACCAAAUGGUGAUUCCACAGCGUUGACCCUUCGGAAGUUCGAAAACAUACCGGAGAAUUUGGAAAGGUGUUUAAAGAGACAUGCGACGGCAAAACGGAGGAUCAGAAGCAAAGGUGGAUGCAAGCUCUCGUAGAUGUAGCAAAUAUGGCCGGAGAGGAUCUUCGGAACUGGUAUAAACUAUAAACCUUGUGUUAUCAUUCCAUAGUUCGUGUCGUGCAUUGACUUCGAUUGUGCUUUUAGGGCAGCUCUUUAAUGUCACAAUUUGUUAUUAGGUGUAACGAAGCCAGCAUGAUUGAAAAGAUAGCCGAUGAUGUUUCGAAUAAACUUAUCACAACAUCGGAUUGUUAUGGCGAUUUGGUGGGGAUUGAAGCUCAUUUAGAAGCAAUGAGCUCAAUAUUGUGCUUGGAAUCCGAGGAAGCUAGAAUGGUAGGGAUUUUGGGGCCUUCUGGGAUUGGUAAGAGUACCAUAGGAAGAGCUCUUUUCAGUCAACUCGCUAGCCAAUUCCAACUUUUGUAACUUAUAAAAGAACCAACCAGGAUGACUACGGCAUGAAGUUGUGUUGGGAAGAAAAUUUUUUAUCAGAGAUUCUUGGUCAAAAGGACUUGCAGAUAUACCAAUUAGGUGCGGUGGAGCAACGGUUAAAACUCAAGAAAGUUCUCAUUGUUCUUGACGAUGUUGAUGAUAUAGAGCUCCUAAAAACCUUGGUUGGGCAAACGGAAUGGUUUGGAUCCGGGAGCAGAAUUAUUGUGAUCACUCAAGAUAGGCAACUUCUUAAGGCUCAUGAGAUUGACCUUAUAUAUGAGGUGAAGUUCCCAUCUCAAGAUUCUGCUCUCAAGAUGUUAUGCCAAUCUGCAUUUCGGCAAAACUCUCCACCUAAUGGUUUAAUGGAAUUGACAGUUGAAGCUGCCAAGCUUGCCGGUAACCUUCCUUUGUGUCUCAGUGUCUUGGGUUCGUCUUUAAGAAGAAAGGACAAAAAAGAGUGGGAGGAGAUGCUGCCUAGACUCCAAAAUGGUUUGGACGGGAAGAUUGAGAAAAUAUUAAGAGUCGGCUACGAUAGAUUAGAUGGCAAAGACCAAGAGUUAUUUCUCUUCAUUGCAUUUGCAGGUUUAUUCAAUGGUUUGCAAGUCAGUUACAUCAGAUUAAAUGAUGUCAUUGAUGUGACAAUCAGUGUCAGUGACAUCAAAUGCUUGCUCGGAGAUGGUGUUACCACUGGGCUUACAGUGUUGACUGAUAAGUCCCUCAUACGUAUAACACCGCACGAAACUAUAGAGAUGCACAAUUCGCUACAGAAGUUGGCUAGAGAAAUUGGUCGUGCAGAGUCUAUAAACAAUCCUGGAAAACGACGAUAUCUGGUGGAUGUUGAGGACAUUUGCGAUGUUUUUACGGAUAAAACCGUAAGUUUUCUCGCAUAUGCUUUUAAUGCUCGGCUUUAUAAAAUUUAAGCGUUAUUUGGUGAUUGAUAGAUAAACUUUUACGAUUGUUCCCACCUGCUUUAUUUGAGCGCGGGGCUCAGAUGUCAUAAGGAGAAAAAAAAAAUCUCGCCUGCCAUAAAUCAUUGUGUAUUGACGUUUUUAGCCUUAAUGAACUGAUUAUAAAAUUAAAUAAAAUCGUUUAUUUUUAAAAAUAAAAAUAAAAGCUGCAAAUAAGCUUCUUCUUCCCCGAGUUAGGUUUCCGUACACAUCCGCCGCCGCCGCAGAGAGCUUGAUUCGAACCACCGUCGUUUGCUGGUGCCGGCUCAUUUUUUUUGUUUAACUACUCUUUCUUAUCCUGCCAUUUGUGUGAGAAGACUUCGAAAAGGUAUGGUGGUGUGUAUUUUGGAGAUUUAUAAAUUAGAGUUUUUUUUUGUUUGUUUGGUGGUCGUUUAACUAUGUACAUUGCCUAAGUUUGUUGUUUAUUGGUUAAGUUCUCUUCGAAUCGAUGUUAAUUUGUCGAUUUUUAGUGUUGAAUCUGUUUGGUAGAUGUGAAACGAGGAUGUGAAACCAAAGAUUUUAGCCAAGAAAGUUUGGGAAUUUAGAUAACUGGUACAAAAGGUAUAAGUAAAAGAUACGGGACAAGUAGUACAAAUGGUAGAACUGAUAAUUAUGGGACAACUAGUACAAGUCUCUGUUAAGACUGAUAAUGUGGGACAACUAGUACAAAUGUUAUAGUGAGAAAUUCGGGACAACUAGUAUAAAAGGUAUAACUGUGAAACGUAAUUGGUAAUAUUAUUUUUUAUUUGCUGCGUAUACCAGGAUAUAAUGAGCAUUGGCCACACCAACAUAAAUUUUGAGUAUGGAGGAUAUUAUUCACGGAACAAACGACCAACAGGUGUAACCCAGGAGUUUAGUUCAGGAACAAACGACCAACAGGUGUAACCCACGAAGAACUGGACAACUGUGUUUUUUUCAUCUAAUCAUGUUUUAGGACAUCUAGACAGCUAUGUACGUAUGUUGUCAUUUUCAUUUUUUUCAUAUGUUUAGAUAUCGGGAAAACUGGACAACUAUUACAACUAUGUUGUAUUUGUGAAGUACAAUUGACGUUUCAUAUGUUUGAAAUUGGGACAACUGGACAACUAGUACAAUUAUGUUGUAUUUGUGAGGUACAAUUGACGAAUCAUAUGUUUGAAAUUGGGACAACUGGACAACUAGUACAACUAUGUUGUAUUUGUGAGGUACAAUUGACGAAUCAUAUGUUUGAAAUUGGGACAACUGGACAACUAGUACAACUAUGUUGUAAUCAUAUGUUUGAAAUUGGGACAACUAGACAACUAGUACAACUAUGUUGUAUUUGUGAUGUACAAUUGACGAAUCAUAUGUUUGAAAUUGGGAUAACUGGACAACUAGUACAACUAUGUUGUAUUUGUGAUGUACAAUUGACGAAUCAUAUGUUUGAAAUUGGGACAACUAGUACAACUAUGUUGUAUUUUUGAUGUACAAGUGACGAAUCAUUUGUUGGAAAUUGGGACAACUGGACAACUAGUACAACUAUGUUGGAUUUGUGAUGUACAAUUGACGUUUCAUAUGUAUGAAAUUGGGGUUUAGUACAAACCCUAGACAACUAUGAAAGACAUCUAAAAUGAGGUUUUAAAGAAGCUUCAGAAAAUGGGAUAACAAAUUAUAAGUUUAGAGUCAUAAUAUUGGUUUGACACUAAACACUCCUUAUAAAACAAGAGAGUCUUCACUAAUACUCAUCACAUGAUGAUGGAUAAAUGCAAAUGUUUGGAUUUAAUCAAAACGGAUUAAUCAGGACUUUUUAAUUGUGGUAUGAAACUUCAAACAAAUAUGAACAACUACAAUAUGUGGUAUAUGGUCAUGGGUCAACUGGAAAUAUUUGAAAAAGCUUAAAGUACAACUCUUACAAAUAUUGGACAACAAUACAAGUACGUACAACUAUAUGAUAACCCUUAUCAUAUUAUAUUUGCACGUGAAGCACAUGUGUUUACUAUGGCGGCAAAAUAAUUAAAUAGUUUUUAAAAUCUCUUUUCUUUAAAUUGUUCUUCCUCAUAUUCUACUGAGAACUUCCUCCUUUUUUAGGGUUUCAGCCGCAGAGCAAUUUCACAAGAUUAAGAUAAUGUCGAAGAAGAAAUCUUCCUAAAAAAGACUGCCUUUCCGCCGAAGGAUUACGGCAUGACCACCAGGUGGGGGCCCGAAGUUAAUGGAGUCCGCACCAUUCUUCCAUGUCCCAUACAGAUGGGAAUUCCCAAGGUUUGCCACCACGGAAUUGCUCCAAUUGGCUGUUUAACCAACCAUUCAGCGUUAGAUAGGGGACGUAGGUACUUUGGUUGUUUUUAUGGUUGCCAUAGUUGAAGAGAUUAAAAUGGUAAAAGAAACUCAAGAGGAGAUGAAGUCUUUGUUUGAUGUCAUUAUCUCGAGAAUUGAAGCUCUUGAGGCUGCUGUGACCAAGAAGAGUUGCUCGAAGGAAGUUUGAAGCUCAAGAUCGUUUGUUGAACCUUGUCCUACAUCGUUGUCUUUGUUUCUUGAACCUUGUUGUCCUUUAUUGUCCUACAUCGUUUAACUAUGUUGUCCUUUAUUGAACUACAUUGUUAUCCUUUACUGAACUACUUUGUUGAACCUUGUUGUCCUUUAUUGUACUAAUUUGUUGAACCUUGUUGUCUUUUAUUGUCCUACAUCGUUUAACUUUGUUGUCCUGUAUUGAACUAUUUUGUUGAACCUUGUUGUCCUUUAUUGUCCUACACCGUUUAACCUUGUUGUUCUUUAUUGUCCUAAAUCCCAAAGAAUUGACCAUUAUUGUCCUAAUAUGUCCCAAAUCCAAACAAAUGUCCAAAUUCGAAUAUCAAACAUAAAAUCCACAACAUAAACUAAACAUCCGCAAACAACAUAACCUGUAACUUAAAAGAAAAACAUAACAUCCAGAAAACAAGAUAAACUGCAACAUCCGACACUUCUACUUCGAUAACAUCCAGUCUUCUGCUCUUGUUCUUCACCCUCCUGCUCUUGUUCUUCAGCCUCAUCCUCUUUUUCAUCAGCCUCCUGCUCUUGUUCUUCGGCCUCCUGCUCUUCUUCUUCAGCCUCAUCAUUUCCCUCCUCUUGUUCAUCAGCCUCUUCAUUUCUCGAAUCUUGUUCAUCACCCUCCUCCUUUCCCUCCUCUUCUUCAUCACCCUCCUCCUUUCCCUCCUCUUCUUCUUCACCCUCCUUUCCCUCCUCUUCUUCUUUGCCCUCCUCCUUUCCAUCGUCUGCUUCAUCACCCUCAGCCUCGUCUUCUUCUUCCAUGGGGUUUAUCGUUUCGGUUUCAUCUUCUGUGGGGAUUUUUUGGGCUGCGGUCUCCUCGAUAGGAUUCGGAGAGGUUUCUUUCUCCAUUUCUGUUUCUGAACUACAAACAUCUUCGCUUGUCUUUGUCGCGGCUUCGGUGGGAAUAGGGUUUACAACGGCUUGAGGAAUAUUUCCUUUCUCUUUAUCGGCGGCUUCAGGAUUUACUUCAGAUUCUCUCGCUGCGGCUUGAGAAUGCGAUUCCGUUUUAGGCAACGUUUUCCGACUUUCAGUUGACUCAUACUCGACGCCUUUUUGUUUCACACGAGUCAUGGAGAAGUCGUAACGAACCGAAGAUGGAGAAAUCGAUUAAAACGGAAGUUGUAGAUGGUGGAGUGGAAAUAAAACGAACGCAAUCGGUUAGCUUCUAUCAACACUCGCCGGAUUUUACGCCGGAAAACUCUCUCAAAUCUUUUUUCGAAUUUCAAUUAACUGUGUGGAGGUUUUUUUCCAAGAACUGAUAAAAUGGUAAAGUAAAUUAGGGUAAAUAAAAAGAAAUGCGAGUCGAAUCCGAUUUUAAUUGGGUAGGUUUUCAAAUGCCCAGAUAUUGUUGUAAUUAACGAGACAUUCAUGUAUAAGGUAAUAAACAACCAUCUUUUUGCUAUUUAAAAAAAAUUAAAAAGGAAUUGAUUAUACGAACGAUGGCAUUGGGGCUCUUUCUUCAGCGAUUUAUGGCAUUUUAGCAUUUGAUUCGCUUUAUUUUAACACUGUUACAAUUGUUUUUUUUUUCCUGUUAACUAACAGUUACAAUUGUUAAGAUAAUAGUUUUCGUGUGAUUUUUUUUUUCAGGGCACAGAAGCUGUAGUAGGAAUAUAUUUCGACACAUUAGAAAUCAAAGAGCCAUUUUCAAUAGAUGAAAAAUCGUUCGAAGGCAUGCGUAAUCUCCAAUUUCUAAUAGUUCGAGGGUCUCCACGGGGUAGAUUGCGUCUACCUCAAGACCUCGUUUAUUUACCCCGUAAACUCAUAUUGCUAAAGUGGGAUGGUUAUCCAUCCAAGUGUUUGCCUUGAACUCAGAAUGGAGAAUAGUUUGCUUGAGAAGCUGUGGGAAGGAAUUCAGGUACUAUAGUUUUAAAUUUAUUUCUAAGUUUCAUACGGUGUUACUAUUAGAACAAAUAACGGUCUUAUUUUUCUAUAUAUAUUGUUGUUAAAAGUUUAUAGAAUAUGUGUUCAAAAUGAUUUUGAACCUGUGCAUUUAUUUUUAUUUUCCUGUUUGUUUUCAGCCACUUGGAAGCCUCAAGCAAUUGAUUAUGAAUUGGUCCACAUAUUUGAGAGAACUUCCAGAUCUCUCUAAGGCCAUAAACCUCGAGAAAGUGUAUCUUGAUGGAUGCAAAUCUUUGGUGACAUUUCCUUCCUCGAUUCAGAAUCUCCUGAAACUGAGAGAUUUACAUUUGGAAAAUUGCACAGAGCUAGAAAGUUUUCCAACUCUUGUCAACUUGAAAUCUCUCGAGUACCUCAAUCUCCGAGGAUGCUCCCGGUUGAGAAAUUUCCCUCAGAUUUAUAUGGACAGUUCACAUGGAAUUAGCAUCGAAGUAAAAGACUGUUUCUGGAACAACAAUCUCCCUGGACCCGAUUAUCUCGGUGGCCUUAUGAGAUGUAUGCCUUGUAAAUAUCGACCAGAACAUCUCGUUCGUCUUACAGUGAAAGGCAACAUGCUUGAGAAGCUAUGGGAAGGCGUCCAGGUACAUUGUUAAUGUUUGAAUGUCAUAUGAUUGAAACAUAACAAAAUGUUUGGUUGUUCUGUUUCAGUCGCUUGGAAGUCUCGUGAGGAUGAAUCUGUCAGGAUCUGUAAACCUGAAUGAAUUUCCAGAUCUUUCAAAGGCCACCAAUCUGGAGCGUUUAGAACUCAACUAUUGCCAUAAUUUGGUGACUGUUCCUUGUACAAUUGAGAAUCUCAAGAAAUUGGUAAAGUUGGAAAUGAAAGGAUGCAUAAGGCUGGAGGCUCUUCCAACCGAUGUCAACUUGUCAUCUCUCGAAACCCUCGAUCUCAGUUGGUGCUCAAGUUUGACAAGUUUUCCUCAAAUUUCAUGGAGUGUGAAAAAACUCUAUCUAAAUGACACUGCCAUUGAACAAGUUCCCUGCUGUAUAGAGAAAUUCUGGAGGCUCCUUGAACUAACGAUGUGUCGUUGCAAGAGGUUGAAAAACAUCUCCCCAAACAUUUUCAGUCUGAGCCGUCUUGUGAAGGCAGACUUUUCAGACUGUGAAGGAGUAGAGACGGCAUUGAGUGAUGCAACUCCAGUGGCAACAAUGUCAACGGAGGAUCAAAUUCCUUCUAUACCAUUACACACAAAUGCCUAUAGAAGGGAAUAUUUUGAGUUCAAUAAUUGCUUCAAAUUGGAUAGAAAUGCGCGGGCACUCAUCCUACGAUCAUACGUGGCGCCUACAGUCUUACCAGGUGAAGAAGUGCCUGCGUAUUUCACGGAACAAGCUUCUGGAACUACCGUAGCUGUCAAGUUACCUCAGAGCUUUCUUUCUCAAGAACACCUCGCAAUUAAGGCUUGCGUCGUGGUCGGCAAGGGUUCGCAUUCAUACUUAGGGUUACGCUGGCACUUCAGAGGCGAAGAGCAUUGGGACACAAUAUUUGAAAAUCUGCCGGGGUCUUUUAAGAGGGAUCAUCUGGUUUUGCUUUCCUUCAAGUUCCGGCCUUCACUUCGUUUGGGUUUGAGUGACUUGAGUCCAACUAAUUUUCACUUCGACGAUGUUGAGUUUGAGUCUUCCACCAUCAACCCAUCCUCUGGCACCUUCUCACCGUCGGUCCAGAGGAUAACAGGAUGUGGUAUAAGAUUCUUGAAUCGGUCUACUACACGUCGUCGUCUAUCUAAAUUGGACUACUACUACAACGAUGUUGUCUCUGAGUUCUUCUUCAACCGAACAUUAAGAGAGGAUGCUGAGUACUUCUCUGGAAGAUGAAUCUGAUGAUGGAAGCUCUGGAACAGAGUACAACCAAAAAUCUAUACAAAGUUGUUAUCAAGAAAACAAUCUGUACAAAAUGUGAUGUUGUAGGGAUUGUGAGAAGAAAGAACGGAUGCGGGUAAAGCUUUUUGAACUCAAAAUUAUAAGGGUAUCUCUUGAUCUUUUUUUUCAGGAUCAAUAUCAUAGGUCCAUAGGGAUGAACUAUUUAAUAGACUAGAUCGUUUGGUUUUAUUAUGUAGAUUACAUUAAAAGAAUACAUGUGGGAUGUGGCGAUAAAGUAGCGGACACAGGUAUUGACGCCUCCAAAUAUAGAAUUUCUUCUACAAGUAAGAUACCGUUAGUUUCUUCUAGCAACUUUCAUGUCCAUGGAGCAUCCCUGUAUCUAUCCCUUUCUCCUUCUAUUCCAUGUCUGGAGGGGCAAGUUUUGUCUGUUGAUCCCCGAGAUAACUGAACAACUAGAUAUAUACAGAAACACUCACCGUGGAUCCUUUGUCGCACCCAGAGCUUACCAACUUUUUUUUACGGUAAGUGAAACAUCUUACAGUUCUGUUUUGUUCUAUAACAUCUUGCGAAUUGCGAUCGACCGUGGCUAUGCUGAUCUUGCCAAGACGUUUUCGUAGUUUUUUACGCAAUCCAUUUUUCCCUGCAGGUGAUGGUGAACUUCUCGAGAACCAGAACCUGUUUACGCACUCUAUUCUUACUUCUUUGUGUUACUGUUUCCCUCUUUGAGAAUUUCGCUUUUCAUGAAAGAAUAAACAUCUUUCAAAUAGCCACAAUUCAGCACAUUCUGGAAAAUUUUCUUUAGCAGGUUUUGUUUUGUACCAUAAAUCUAUCGGUUUUUAGUUGGAAAUUCGUUGAAUUUGUGAGCUUGGGUUUUACAUACUUGACUCGGGUAGUUUUUCUUUCCUUCUAACAAAGCAAUGAAUAAAUCAGGAUUUGGCCAAACUAAAAAUGUAUAAAAAAAAAUUCACUAGUUCUAAAUGGCAAGACCCUCUUCAUCAUCAGCAACAUUUGGAUCGCUGUUUCCAUGACGUUUCCUACACUCGCAGUAAAAAACAGUGACUACAACAUAACUCAGCACCACCUCAGCACCAUACAUACAAAUCAACUUCCACCCGUCUAAGCCACCGCUCACCACCACCGACCUCCACCACGACCCUGAGCUCGAGUCUACAUCUAGCUCCUUGGCCAGCUUCUCCAUCCCAUGACCAAUGAAACUCGAAAGAAACACAAAUACACCCGCCAAAGCCAAUCCAGUUAUCCUCCUCCCUUUCAUCAGAGAAUUUCCUUCCUUAAUCGCAUCAAAACCGUAUCUUUCUUCUAUCACAGAGACGACAAGGCCAAGCCCUGUUAUAGCCAUUAUGUAUACCUCAACGCCGAGACUGAGAACCGUGAUGAGGUAACGCAAUGUGGGUGUAUAACCCAAGAGAGCUGAUAGAAACAUGGGAAUCGGAGAGUAGAGGAAGAGCAGACCAUAGACAACAAUGGAAGUUGCAGUUACUCGCAUCCACGAGGACUUCACUGAUGCAAACGAUGACUUCAGAGACGUGUUUAGGCCGUUGUGUGAGAAGGAAGUUGAUGUGAUGACGGUUAUGGAUGCGAUACAGGAGAGGAUGAAGGACGGGACGAAAUAUCUGGAUUUGAGGUGUAGAAGCGAGACAGCGUCUUCUCUAGACUCUUGCCAGAUCUGUCUAGCUUCGAACCUUGUGUGCACGACGUUGGCCAGGGCUUCUAGACGGAAGACAUGGUUUUUAAGACGAAAGGAGGAGAGAGUUAGGGAGAGGUGUAAGGCUGCGAGAGGGAUUGCUACAAAGGCAAAGACUGGGAAUAAUAUGUGUUUGUUUCUCAAGAGAAUCAUGAAGGAGUCUAGGAGUGUUGUGGUGAUCCGCGUGGAAGAACCAGGUCGCUUUACUUCAAUCAUGAUAUCAAAAGGCACAUAGAAGCCUGCUGCUUAAAGCUUCAACCAAUGUUGGGACAACUCGAAACAGAGUAGAUACACUAUGCUUCUAGAGAAUGUCUUGUAUGAGGCCUGUGUAAACAAGAAAGCACAAAGCUUUUAGCAACUCAGAGAAUCAAUACAAGACUAAGUGCAUUGCAAAACCACAGUUUUCUCAGCAAAAAGAAUCACACUUAUCAGGUGGAAAUCACAGUUCCAUAUGAAAGAAUGACACUUUUAGCGAUUAUUCUAAUGACACUUAAACAAGGUUUGGUUCAAACAACAACUCCAGAGAUCAUACAUAGUUGACCGAAAUGUUAAGACUUUUUCUACACACCCCGGAGUUUUCGGAGUUCCAACAAGUUCGAGUUCAUUGAAGAAUAUAAACCAUAAUAUGAGUACGAAUUGAUGCUAUGUCGUCAAAUUAGAUCAAAUUCUGUGAUCUUGUGGACCAAACGUGUAUGAAGAAAUCAAACAAUCGACCGAGAUCAACUAGAAAUAACGAAUCCAGAACUAGAUUCUAUUUCCCAAACAACAGUCUCUAGAAAAAGGGUGAAUUUCGAUUCCCGAUCUAAAACUUGACGACUAAAUCCCAACUUUUAACAUUAGAACGGAAACAAUUAGGUUUAAUCCAAUCUUUUUUGCUUGAUUACGGUCUAUCUGAGAUCGAGACAAACCUGAAAGAUGCGAAAACACCGAUUGGUGUAAGAGGAAAUCCGAAGAAGUAUUGCUUGGAAGGAGAAUUCAUUGAUUUGAGAGACAGAACAAGUCAAUAAGCUUUGGGUUUUAAAGUUUAACCACUGUUUUAUAACUCAGUAAUUCUGUCCUUUGCGAAAAAAAAAGAAAAAAAAAACUCAGUAAUUCUGUCCUGAUUUGGGACAAUUUUGGAUGCCAAUUGCUUUUAUAAUGUUUUCGACCAAUAGAGUUACUUUACUAUUGGAUUACUAAUUAAUCAUUACUUAAUAAUGUUUUUUUGGUUAAUUGAGUUGUGAUGUUGAAUUAGUUAUUUAUCCACUAGAAAUUUCACAUUUUUUUAGUUUUUUUUAAUCAAAGACUCUAGAGUGAGGUAUCAAACAACAUUUUAUUGUAAAAUAUCAAAAUAGACAACUUUUUCAGACAAUCCUCUAUGAGGCUAUGAUUAUGAAUGUGUGUGACUGCGUGUAAUGAAAAAAAAAAACAAAAUACAGUAUACGAGGUAUAAAAAGAAAGAAUUGUCUCGACAACACAACAAAGAGUUUGCUUGCGGCACCAAAUCAUUGGAGUCUUCUUGGUAGUGAAAAGUUGUUUCCUUUCCCCAAAACUGAUUCAACCCGCAAAUGUGUUCCCUUCUCAUUGGAGCCAACAUUUUGCUUCUUGAACUCAGCUUCUUAACGCUGCUGACAAAUUCCAAAUCCAUCUCCGGUUUAGUAUUGUGACUAUUACUUGAGCAAAUCGAAACCGCAAUUGAACACAAGAUUCUAACAUUGCAGAGACAACUCAAUGCUCAUAUCCAGCAAGGUCUUUGGUAAUUCCUAAGUUUCACAAACCAAUGGAUUCAUAGACUGAGAGUCAAUUUCUGCAUCUAUAGAUGAAAUCGAAAACCAUCAAAAAAAUCAACCAAGAUGGUUUUUUCCAAUUUCCUCGGUUUACCUGAAUGAGAGAAGAGCCAGAGGAUUACGCCGCAGAGAAGAAGAAUGAGAGGAAUGAAAUGGAUGACGUUUUCUGCAGAUCUGAAUCGGGACUUCUCUCUCUUCCCCGGUUGAGAAUUCGGGUCGUACCUUGGCAAAAGCAGCUCCACAUCAUCUUCCAUAGCUGUAACGCUCUGAGAUCGAGGCGGAGACAGUGACGGCGUUGAAAGAUUCGCCGGAAACUGAUCCGAAACUCUUGAGCCACUUGCUGAUCUACGCAUCUCUCUCUCCCUAACGUAACUUCUCAAGUCAAAGGUCGAAACUUUUUUCACACAAUAACGCAUAUAAAUACUGUCGUCACGUCAGAUUUGACCAAUAGAGAAGAGUCAAAGCUCUUCUCUUUUUCACCAGUAAUCGCCACAAGAACAAGACCCAUCUUUGAAAUGGUGAAACCUUGUGGUGUCUCUCACCAUGAUCUCUCGUCUCUCUAUCUCCGAGAUAAAUUUGAUUGCUUUAUGGCAAUCACCACAGAUUCUCAGGUUCUUGAAAACUUGUAUCCGUGAACCUUCAGGGAGUUUUAAGCACCCAAAAGCAACAGCUAACUUCUCGCUAUGCCAUAACAAUAGUUUCUUUUUCUGCUCUUCCUCUACAUCGUGUAAAUCAAACUCCAGCUCUGGUAUGUAUCCAGCCAGCUCCAUCUUUUUCUCCAACUCCUUCAGUUUCUUGUGUAUUGACUCUAAUUCCGGGUGGAUCCGAUCACUUGAUCUGAAAUGGUGAACCUUGUUUCGAAUCUCGAUCCAACUGUAUCCUGGUACCUGAAACAAUCGAUUGAACACAUAAAAAGUCUUGUAAAGCGAAUAAAUAAUCACACCUUUUGCAAUCACCAUACCUUCACAACAUUGCUCUGCUUCAUUCUCUUACGAACCCUUGCAACGUCCUCCCAACGACUCAUCGAUGCGUAGAUAUUCGCGAGCUGCACAUACCCAGCUGCAUUACUCGGGUCAAGCUCAAGCAGCUUCUCGGCUGCGAAUUCAGCCAAUUCCACAUUCUUAUGCACCCUACAAGCCCCUAAGAGCGUCCCAAAGACUGCAGCGUGUGGUCUAAACGGCAUCGAUCGUAUCAGUUUCAACGCCUCGUCCAGCUUCCCAGCCCGACUCAGAAGAUCAACCAUACACGUGUAGUGAUCAGGCCGCGGUUCUACCCUGUAAUCUCUCACCAUCGACUCGAAAUGCUGCAUCCCAGUAUCCACUAAUCCAGAAUGGUUGCAAGCUAGCAAAACCGCUACAAACGUUAUCCAAUCCGGUCUGAUAUUGUCAUCUCUCAUCUCACUGAACAAACGCAGAGCCUUUUCUGCUCUACCAUGCUGUGCAUACCCGCAUAUCAUCGCGUUCCACGCGACGACAUCUUUCUUCCUCAUACCCUGAAAGAGCUUCCAGGCAUCACCAAGUUCACCACAUUUGCAGUACAUACUGAUCAGCGACGUCAAUGCGGUUAUCUCACUACACAAUAUAGAUUUACACACUAUCUGAUGGAUCUGCCUCCCUAACCGUAACGCAGAUAACUCGCUGCAUCCAAGCAAUACGCUGCUUAGACCUGACGGGUUAGGCCUAAUUCCAUCAAAAAGCAUUACUUUGAAAAGCUUCAAUCCAUCUCCUGGCCGAGAAUUUUCGACAUAACCAGAGAUCAUAGCAUUCCAUGUAACGAGAUUUUUCUUCACAGUCAUGUCUUUGAACACUGCCUCAGCUAAUUCAACCUUCUUGGCUUUCAUGUACCCUGUGAUCAUCGCCGUCCAGGCCACCACUCCUCUAACAGGAGCCGCUUUGAAGAAACGUGAUGCCAUUUCCAAAUCUCCGCAUUCUACGUAACCAGAGAUCAUCGCGUUCCAAGAAACCUCGUUCUUCUCCGUCAUGGCGUAGAACAAUUCCCGCGCUUUUUCCAUUUCCCUUCUCCGUGCAUACCCUGUGAUCAUCGUGUUCCACGACGCCGCGUCCUUGAAUGGAGCCCGAUCGAAAAAGCUCUGAGCUUUCUCGAAGUCUCCGUUACGAACGUAGCAAGACAACAUGAUGUUGUAGGAGAAAGUAUCUGGUUCAGGGAUUUCGUCGAACAGUUGGUGUGCUUCCUUCAAUCUGCUUGGAUCUUUUGAAAUCCCAACGAGCAGGGUGUUCCAGGUGACUGUGUUCUUAGCUCUCAUCCCGUGAAACACUCGGAGAGCUUCGUCUAUAUCUCCGGAACGUACAAAUCUGGCUAUAAUCUUGUUCAACGGGAAGAUUCGGUCUUGGUCACAAGGUUUAGUCGUCGUUUGAAGCGUCAAGUUAUCGGAGCGAACCAGAGAUGGCUCUGGCGAUGAACAAGAGGAAGACAAACAUGAUCCCACCAAAAUGGCAUCUGGGUUUUCUACGGAGCGCAAAAAGAAUCGAAAUUUCCAGCGUUUGAACGUCCGGUGAAUGUUGAACCGAGAAAGCAUUUUUCAUGGUUUAUGACAGAACAAGGAUGAAAAUGUUUAUAAAUCAUACCAAACAAAAAAAACCUAAAUUUGGAAUUUAACACCUAACAAUUGGGAGAAUCUGAGACAGAACUGAGUUCACUCUCAUUGUAAUAAACUGUUGAAUCAUCUUAUUGUUGAGUUAUUUCUAAUAAGAGACUUAUGUUUUAGAUUAAGUCAAUUGUUGUUUGCUAUUUUCUCGUUAGUGGUGGAACUAGUUGAACUAGUUGAGUCAUGUCCUUGUUUUACGGUUGUUUCAGUUAUUGUACUUUCUUUAUAAGGCAUUAAGGCCGAUGGAAUAAGAUCAGAUCAUUCUGAUGCAAUUUGUGAAUCCUUGAAACCAACUUUACAAUUGGUAUCAGAGCAAAAACACAAACGAGUGAUCAAAGAGAGAGCAAAAAAAAGGAGAGAGAGAAGAUGAGCGACGAUAAAACUCUUACCAAAAUUCCUUCAUUCAAUGGUCAUUACAAUCAUUGGAGUGAACUGAUGGAAAAUCUUUUGCGUGCCAAAGGAUUAUGGAAUCUGGUGGAAGAGGGAUUCACAAAACCGUCGGAGGGAGCCGAGAUGACCGCAGCGCAGCGGAAACAAAUCGAGGAACUCAAGGUGAAAGACCAUCAAGUGAAGCACUACCUGUUUCAAGCCAUUGAUCGGGUGGUAUUUCAACAGAUCUUAGAUCGCAGAACAUCCAAGAUCAUCUGGGAGUCAAUGAAGAAAAAGUUCGGAGGCAAUGAACGAGUGAAGAGAUCUCUCCUCCAAACCUUAAGAAGAGACUUUGAGAUUCUUGCAAUGAAGGCUGAUGAAAGCGUGGACGAUUACUUUGGCAGAGUAAUGUCCGUCUCGAACAAAAUGAGAAGUAAUGGAGAGGAUAUGCCAGAUUCGAAGAUUGUGGAGAAGAUACUUCGAACGCUCACUGACAAAUUCACAUACGUGGUGGUGUCAAUUGAGGAGUCCAAAGACACAAGCAGCAUCACCAUCGACAAACUGCAGAGCUCUUUGUCAGUCCAUGAGAAAAAGUUCAAAAGGACCAGCUAUGAGGAAGAUGAUCAAGCUUUCAAUGUCAAAGGCAGAGGAAGGGGAUCCUCCAGGGGUCGAGGCAGAGGGAGAGGUCGCUCCUUCAACAAAGCAUUGAUUGAAUGUUACAAGGGCCACAACCUUGGGCACUUUCAGUAUGAAUGUCCGCAGACAAACAAUGGUGCAAAUUACGCUGAGAUUGAAGAAGAAGAUGAAGUAUUACUGAUGGCGUUUGUUGAACUUCAAGGCACAAGAAGAGAAGAUGCUUGGUUUGUUGACUCUGGAUGCUCAAACCAUAUGUGCGGAGAAAAGGGUAUGUUCUCAAGUCUGGACACUGAUUUUACGCGUAACGUCAAGCUGGGCAACAAUCACAAGCUGAUGGUUGGUGGGAAAGGAGUAGUGAAGAUAACACUUAAAGGCAUCAGCUAUGUGGUUAACGACGUGUAUUAUGUCCCUGAAUUGAAGAAUAAUCUGUUGAGUGUUGGGCAGCUUCAAGAGAAGAGUCUGGAUGUGCUAUUCAAGGGAGGAGAACACAAAACCUGCAGCAUAUUUCAUCCAACAAGGGGAAAGAUAGCUGAGUCUGUCAUGAGUGCUAAUCGGAUGUUCAUUCUGCUGGGAGAAACAAGUGAGAAAAUGAAGGAAGAAAGAUGCCUGCAAGUUAACAUCUCAGACAAAGCUGAACUGUGGCACCAUCGAUAUGGGCAUCUCAGCCACAAAGGACUUCAUACCCUUCACAGCAAAGAGAUGGUUGUGGGUCUACCUGAACUUGCAGAGAUGAAGACCAUUUGUGAAGCCUGUGUCAAAGGGAAGAAGCAUCGUGUACCAUUUCCUAAGCAAAGCAAGUGGAGAGCAACUGAGAAAUUACAGCUUGUCCACUCAGACCUCUGUGGUCCGAUCAUCCCUCCAUCAAACAGUCAUAAGAGGUACCUGAUAAGCUUCAUUGAUGAUUUUUCCAGAAAAACUUGGAUAUACUUUGUGCAAGAGAAGUCCGAAGCAUUUCAAAUGUUCAAGAUAUUCAAAGCACUCGUGGAGAAGCAAACAAGGUUGUUUAUCAAGUGUUUAAGGACAGACAGAGGUGGAGAAUAUAAUUCCAGCGAGUUCAAAGAAUUCUGUAAGGAGAAUGGGAUCAGAAGGCAGCUAACCACAGCUUACACUCCCCAGCAAAAUGGGGUUGCAGAGCGCAAAAACCGAACCAUUAUGAAUAUGGUGAGAGCAGUCUUGAUGGAAAAGGAGGUGCCUAAAUCUUUCUGGCCGGAUGCUGUGCAGUGGGUAAACCAUGUUUUGAACAGGUCUCCCACCUUGAUUGUUAAAGAUGUGACUCCUGAAGAGGCAUGGAGCGGAAGAAAGCCUUCGGUCGAGCACUUCAGAAUCUUCGGAUGCAUCGGGUAUGUUCAUAUCUCCGAUGUAAAAAGGACCAAACUUGAUGAUAAAAGCGCAAAGUGUGUCUUGCUAGGCUUCAGCAGCGAAUCCAAAGCAUACAAGAUGUAUGAUCCAGUGGAGAAAAAGGUUCACAUUAGCCGAGAUGUGCUAUUUCAAGAAGACAAGGGCUGGAAUUGGGAUGUUGCUUAUUCGGGUGAACAGAACAUGGAGCUUGCGUGGGAUGAUCAGUACGAGUGCAGUGAAAAUCAAGAAAUAGAAGAAGAAGAAGCAGAGGUAGCUGAAGAUGAAGCAGAAGAAAGAACUAAUGUUCCUGUGCCAAACAAUCUAACUGCAGACACAUCAACGUCUGCAGGCAGAACAAGGAGACCACCUGUUUGGGCUGCCGACUUUACCUCAGGAGAGGAGCUGUCAGAUAUGGAGGAAGAAGCAAAUAUGGUCAGGGUUGAUAGUCUCGACAGCACAAUCUGACAUUUAUGGCAUUGAUAGUCAGAGGUAGCUGAAGAUGAAGCAGAAGAAAAAACUGAUGUUCUUGUGCCAAACAAUCUAACUGCAGACACAUCAACGUCUGCAGGCAGAACAAGGAGACCACCUGUCUGGGCUGCCGACUUUACCUCAGGAGAGGAGCUGCCGACUUUACCUCAGGAGAGGAGCUAUCAGAUAUAGAAGAAGAAGCAAAUAUGGUCAGGGUUGAUAGUCUCGACAGCACAAAUCUGGCAUUUAUGGCCAUCUCAGAUCCUACGAGCUUUGGAGAAGCAAGUUAUAAAAUGAUUACUUUUAUAACAUCUCAGAAUACGAACAGAAACGAGAAAGGAAGUGAAACUCACUGAAGACUCGAAACCGAUGAUAACAUUAGAAUUGUCUGUCUGAAACAAGUAUCAUAAAUAAGAAAACAACAAACGACUAAAGACUAAAUGGUAGGUAAACAAAGGAAAAAAAGAGUGUAUUGUUGUUUCAAAAGUAAAAAAAAAAACCGGUCAGGCAUAAGCUUGCAUAAAAUCUAAGAAACUGACGACAACUAAAAAUUUACACCUGACAACAAAAGACCGGUAAACAGUAAAUCAUUCAGACUCGAUUUCAGCAGCGGAGGAAAACUGGAACGAGUUUCGAUGUUUUCAUUGGAUGGAUCUUACUUGCCCCCAAGAGAUGGGAACUGAGCAGUAUCUCCAAUGACAGGCGCAGCUUCACUACGGUGGCCACCAAAUCCGCCGCUAGAAGCACCUCCACGGCCACGACCACGACCACCACGUUCACGGCCACCACGACCUCCUCCUCGGUAGUAGUUCUCACCCUCAGCUGGCUUCAGAAACUCAUUGAUGCUCACAGCCUGCAAAUCAGAAACACACAUUCAUAAGCAAAAAAGCUUAUUGACUUCUACAAAAUAUUUUUGAUUCAGAAAACGAUUUGAACCUUUUUGGCCUUCUCUUCUUUGUCAUCUUUGCGUUUGUCCUUGUCAGAACCCUGUGAAAUAGAUCAAAGCAAGGGUCAGAAUCGUCUAAGCAAGUAGAUUCUAUACACGAUAUUGUCUUACCAACUUGAUGAAGAUUUCAUCGUUAGACUUCUUGUUUGAGAGUUGUUGCAUUGAUUCAAACACUUUAGUAUCAACUUUCCUCUCGGAGGUGGUCUGAGAUUGAAGGGCCUUUUUCUUCUCCUCAAGGAUUUUCUCAUACUCAUCCAGAGUCAUUUCCUAAUUCGAAACACAAGCCAAAACACAAUCAAUGUGAAUAACAAGUAAAUACUGGUGAAAGGGCCUAAUAACUACAACACUGAUUUCAAGUUCCAUCAUCUAUUCUCGGCUUACCUUGUUCUCAGGCUCUUUCUCCUCCUCAGCUUCAGCAGUGUUCUCCUUGUUAGCAUCAGCAGCUACAUCAUCACCAGCAGGCUUCUCCACAGCAUUCUUUUCAGUCUCAGCACCAGCUACUUCCUCAGUCUCACUAAAAGAGACAAGAGAAUCUUCUUUUAGUCCAAAUUCCAAAUUCUUAUCACAUAAACCAACACAAAUGUUUUUACAAAAUGCAAUCAAUCCCAAAAACAAAUGCUUACCCAGCAAAGACUUCUUCUCCUGGUGUUCCCCAAUUUCCACGACCAGAUCCUUCACGUUUGAAGUCACCCCUAACCAAAAGAUAAACUUAAGCUCAUGAGAAUUUCAAUUGCAGAACAUGCCACAACAACAAUAAAAGUUGAGCGAGAGUAAGACUAACCCCCUGCCAGUUCCACUGCGACGCUCGUGCGUCCUUCGAGGACGUUCGCCUUCACCAUCUUCACGUCGACCACCACGGAAAGAACCACGAGGAGCACCUCCACCACCACCACGCCUCUCAUAAGAAGACUUUGACACGUCUCCUUCCUCUGAGGGCUUACUGUAUCCCCCUGAGUAUCCAUUGUUACCUCCGGGACCAUCACCACGUCCAAAAUCACGGUUGUAACCACCAGGACCUCCACGACCACGGCUAAACCCUCCGCUGCCUCUACCACCACCACGUGGAGCUUCACUCCUAGCCUCUUUCACUAAUUAACAACAUUAAGGUACCAACCUCAAUCAACUAAAACAACGAUACAAAACUCCAAAAAUAAAUUCAAUGAAUCAAUCUAGAGAAUCUAAUAUAACAACACAUACAGUCUACUAAAUAAGGAAAUCGAAUAGAUGAGAAGUUUUAUAGUUUGCUAAUCGUGUUUAAGAGAAUCUCACCAGCUUGAGCAGGAGGAAGUGGCUUCGACGGAAGCUUCCCAGCAGCUGAAAUGGGACCAGACUUCUUGGACUUAUCAGUUUUCUCCGGUGGAGCGAUGGAGACGGCGAGCUGGCUUGGAUCCUCAGCGUCGUUACCCAACAGAUCAAAAGGGUUCAAAGUUGCCAUAUCUUAAAAUCAAUCGAAGUGAUUAAAACACACAAACUUUUUUCCUCCCCAAAAGUAUCACACAGAGUCACAGAGACAACUAACAGUAGUAAUAAAGUGAAGCCAUGGAUUAAUAGAUCUAAAGAGUAGAAAAGAAACGUCGGAAUGAAAGAGACGAAAUGGGAAUUAGGACAGGAACUAAUUUGAGUUUGGUAAGAGAAAUGAAAAGAAAGAAAAUGUGGCAAUUUUUGGAGUGGCCGAAAAGCGGCGUAGACAAACCUAAUCGCUUAAAACACCCAGCUUUUCUCACUGAUUGAGUGUGGUCGACCGCAUGGUAAGAUUGAAAUGACCGGCAAGAUCUAACCGUACGAUGCAGCGAUCCUGAAAUCGACAAGAAAACAAUACAUAACUCAACAAGUCAUUAUUUGAGCAAACAUGUUAUUCUUCCAUGGGCCAUUUUUAGUAUUGUUUGAUCAUAUAGGCCCACGAAAAAUUGAUACUUUUUAUUUUAUUAUAUUUUUGCAUUAUCAAAUGAUCUUUAUACGAUCUUGAUAUGUCUAGGACUCUCAAAUCAAUGUCGACAAAAAAAGAUAUGUCUAGGGCUCUAGAGUCUACAAAAGUUUUUGUGAUUUGAAUAACUUCUUAUCUUCUUAUCUAACAUAUACACAACAAACAAAAAAUAUUGUGAUAUUCAAAGAAGUCUUAUGUUUGUAAAUUAGUAAUACUACGAUCGUUUACCUUCUUGGCUUCCAUGCAACGCCAAAUUUCUAUUUAUAACAAAUGUCAAAAGACUCCAAAAUAUUACACAGUAACACAACUUCUAUCAUUUGCAUUUAACAUGCCAAUGGCGAUAAAUAAAAAGCUUUUAUUCCAAAUAGGAACAAACAAAAUAGUCGGCAAACUAAUAAUAACAAUUAGGCUUGUCGGCAAAAAAAAAUACAUUUUUUCAAAAGUGCAUAAAGAAAAAGAAAAUUAGAGCUCUGUCAUGACGACGGACUAGGCAAAACAUCUCCGUUAUCAGGAACAGUAGUAAUACGGCUAAGUCUCAAAGACUUUCCAGUGUACAAAGCCUUGACGUUUGACCGUUGCUCAUCCAAAAGCUUCCUCAAACUACGUUUCGCGUUUGCCCUAAACGGACAGUUCGACGCUAAAAAACCGUCGACCAAAUGCAAAUACGCCUCCAAGUCAUGACAGCACGCCACGUCAGCAUUCGGUUUCAAGUACGGAGACAUCUUCAUAUCUACGCGCAGCUCCGCUCCCACGUGCGAGUAAGCCCAUGGAUUGUUCUUCUCCACCAUCUCCAUUAUUAUACCCCCUUGACUUCUCCCGUUAUUACGAUUCUGCCCUUGCUUAUCGUUAUCGGAGAAUAUCCCGGGGACUUUCGUCACCACGUCCUGGCUGUUCACUACGCGGAGGACUUUCACUCCCUUCGAAUCCAACCGAUCGGCGAACUCCCGGUUUCCGACUCGAGGCCCGCCGAAUGAAAACACCGACACCGGAGGCGCGUGUGGAACACGCUCGGCUAUGUCGUCGGCGGCGAGGAGCGCAAUGGCGGCGCCGAGGCUAUGUCCGGUGACGCUGAUGCUCAGCUCCUCUCCGGCGUAUAGAUCGACGAGCCGGCUGAUUUCUCCGAUUAAUGACUCGGCGAGGCUCGGCGCUUGGUGGCUACCCGUCGUGUAGAGGCUGUUGAAUCCGCAUUCCACUUUGGGCCGGGUCGGGUCAGAUGGAUCGGGUUUGGGUUCGGGCAUGGAGACGAGAUUCGGCCUGAAAUUUUCUGACCACUCGAGCAACGUGGCGGUUCCACGGAGCGCGAUGACGAUCUCCCUCCUCCCCAUCCGUCGGAUCUCACUCGGAUCAUCGCAGACCGCCACGUACCCAACCCAGCUCGUCUGCUUAGUCAUCCACCGUAGAUCUGGUGCCACCUCAUCAAUCCACUUAGGCAAACGAACGGAUGACGUGGCGUAAAGACUUUUUGUCACUUUAUAAGACCCGUCAGGUAACGCCACGUGUCUCGGCGAACCUUCCGGGUCAGAGUGAAACGCUUGGUAAGCCGCCUGCACGAACUCUCCGUACCGGACAAGCUCUCGCCGGAGAUUCUCGUCUAGCGGAUCCAGUAACCCGGCCCAGUUAUUCGACCCGUGUAGUUCCCGCCAUUUAGACCCGAGUUUAUUCUUCGGCGAACGCUCCUCCGAUGACUUGGAGAGAAGCCUUUGGAGACGCUUGAGAUUCUUCGGCGACAUUUCGUCGACGGCUGCUUUCAUCUGAGGCCAGAUUCGCGCCAAAUUCAAACCUUUGAGUAAUGUCGACGUCGACGUCUUCGUUUUAUCUUGACGAGAAGAGACACUGUCGAGAUUAUCUGUAAAGGUCGAUGAGGUCUUGAGAACAUUCUCAAGGUUCAUGAGAUGUUCUCUGUUGGUUUUUCUCGCCGGAAAAACCGAAAGUGUCUUCGUCGGGAUCAAAGUCGAUGUUUGUGUGCUGCAAGUGAAACGACGGCGUUUUGCAUGGAAUAAGUCGGUGUUCGGCGUAAGUGUCUGCAUGAGAAAACUGUGGAGAGAGGUCUUGGCUCAAGUUUUGAUGAGACAAGAACAGAGAUGCUUAAGAAAGUAAAAGGUCUGGUAUUUAUAUGGAAACAUGUCGAUGGUGGCUGUGACGUCAUUUGAAUUAGGAUUGAGCCUUGAAUAUUGAAUGUUAUUACCAUUUUGACCCUCUGUUUUGACUUGACUUUGUUUUUAUUUGAUUUGUUUAUUUCCUUUCUGAUUGUAAGGAAUAUUGAAAUUCUUAUUUAGGACCGUAUUGGCUGGCCAUUGUUUAUAUUUUGGACCGUUUCCAUUAUAAGUCUCCGUGUGUUUUCAAGAAAAGUCCUGCUAUUUUUUCUUUGCACAUGCAAUCAAGCUACCAAAGGGCCGGGUACUUCGAUGGCAGUACGUAUUGUGUAUUCAAUAAUGUAAUUUUAACUAUUAAAAAAAAACCUCAAACUAAUUUCAGGAUAUACAAUUACGGUUUGAAUUGUUAUUAGUUACUUGUGGAUACUGUUGUUUUGCCGUUUUGAUGGACGAGUCUGACUUAAAAGUAGUUACUAGAUACGUGAAAUAGAUAGACAGUAGAAACAUGUUUUGGUCUAUUGUGCCGUCUUCCUAGUUACUAUGAUCGUUGGAUAUAUUGUUCUAUAAAAGGUACAGUCCGAAUAGUAUAGAAAGGAACCCUCUUUUCUUGAUAUAAGAGAUGGCAAAACUCAAUUGGUUUUAUGCUGUGUGCUUAAAGUUAACGCAGUAUAUUCUGACACGCCACUUCUAAAUAUCAAUUUCGAAGACCGGUUUCCGAAUUUUAAGAUUUUUAAGUUUGAUUUGCUAUGAUUUUUAGGUCACUCUCCAAUUAUAUGUAAUAAAAGAAUGUGUGUUUUAAAAACUGAUGAAUUUAAAGAUUGUGAAAAAAAUAUUAAAUUCAACCAAAUCCACCUAAUAUAUAUCCUCUUGUAUAGAUUGUUUAUGAAUCGGUUAUAACUUAAUAAUAAAGAAUGCCUCAGAUUUUUGGUCUACCAUAACAUUCUAACAACUAAUAAUAUAACAGAUUAAAACAAUUGUAAACCAAACAAUAAAUACACCGCGUAAAGCAAAUAGCGUAGGAUGUAAAGUAUAUAUAAAUUUUGACGAAAUAAAAGGACUAUAAGUUCUGAGUUGGUCAAUCUCAAUUCAGUUUAUAAUUUAUUUCUUUACCAUCGGUUAUUGUCGGUAUGUACGAACUAUAGGUGUGUGCAUUUGAAAAACAACAAGUUUAUGUGUGAAAGUGAUAAAGUUAGUGCAGUACCGUUAGAUAACCUUGUACCAACUUACCUUGCGGUCAUGGUUUUAAGAUUAUUGCAUUUCAAACAAUUAUAGUUAUUUACGUUCCCCGUUUGGAGACGGGAUCAAAAAGUUAUAUAUAUACAUAAAAAAAUCUUUAACAAAAUUAUAUUACUUAUGAUAGAGUUUCCAUUUUCCAUAUGAAUUGUUUUUAACUUUGCAAAUACUGCUUUACAAAAUAAAAUUUAAUUUGCAAGGACUUUGAAGUAUGAUCAAUCAUCGAUGUACUUUAUCUUGUCAAAUGCCUGAUAAAAAAAAACAAUAGAUUGCAAGACCACAUGACAGUACCUAUUACAAACGAUGAGUGAUGAACAGAAAUGGAUCAAGCUCAAUCGAUCAUGGAGAAGAUGAGCUCGAGAGAGAAAGAUGAGAAGAAGAUAUUUUGGGAAAAUUUCUGUUAUUUCAUUAAAGGAAAUGUACAAGAGUUAUAUACAAUUGUUGUGUGAUACCCGGGACAAACCGGUUAACUAUUUACAGAUAGUAUUUACAAUAACCAACUAAACCAAGGCCUAAUAUCCCCUCUCAAGAUGGCGCAUAUAUGUUAAUCACAGACAUCUUGCUUAGUAGAGACUCGAACUGAGUUGGAAAUAAUGGUUUAGUGAGGAGAUCAGCGAGUUGGUUACCUGUACGAACAUGCAGAGUUUUAAUUAAGCCCUUGUCAAUCUUUCCUCUAAUACUGUGACAAUCGCGUUCAAUGUGUUUGGUACGUUUGUGAUAAACGGUAUUGUUAGCGAUGUGGAUAGCUGAAGUGUUGUCACAAUAAAGAGAAGAAGCUUCUGAAACAUCGACCCAUAGAUCUUCCAGGAGAUAGCGUAGCCAAAUCAUCUCCUUUGCUGCAUAAGCUAAUGAUCGAUAUUCAGCCUCACUGGUGGACAUGGCAACAACAUCUUGCUUAUUCGAUUUCCAUGAGACCAGAGAAGUACCAACGAACAUGCAGAAGCCUGAAACUGAUCUGCGUGUGUCUGGACAAGUUGACCAAUCAGAGUCGGCAAAACCAGAUAGUUUCAAGUCAGACGUAGCAGAGUAAAAGAGACUCUGUCCUACGGUACCCUUCAAGUAAUGCAAGACCUUGUAAGCUGCAUUAAGAUGAGGAACACGAGGAGAGGACGUGUAUUGACAGAGUUUAUGGACUGCAAAGGUAAUAUCCGGGCGAGUAAAUGUCAGGUAAAGUAAUUUACCGACCAGUGUUCUGUAUUGUUCUGCGUUCUCCAGAAGAUCACCAUCAAUUUUGGACAGUUUGAGAUUUGGCUCCAUCGGAAUAGAAGAGGGUUUACAACCAAGAAGGCCAGUCUCAUCCAACAACUCAAGAGUGUAUUUUCGUUGACAAAGAGAGAUGCCAGAAGAGUUACGAGCAAUCUCUAAACCAAGAAAAUAACGCAAUUCUCCCAAAUCACGCAGCUUGAAAGAGCAUUGUAGAGCAUCCUUGAGAAGUGCAGUGGCGAUGAUAAUAUCGUCCACGUACACAAGAACAGCCAUAUAAACGUUACCCGCAUUUCUGAGGAACAGAGUGUGAUCACCUGAAGACUUAUGAAAACCAAGGUCGAGCAAAGCUUCUGAAAACUUCAAGAACCACUGACGGGAAGCCUGUUUAAGACCGUACAGGGAUUUUUGGAGCUUGCAGACAGCAUUAGGUGGCAGCUCUUCUCCUCCACGAGGAACAUAACCAGGAGGUAAAGACAUGUAAAUCUCUUCUUUUAAAUCUCCAUUCAAGAAGGCGUUAGAAAUAUCCAACUGAGUAAGAGACCAACCCUUUGCAGCAGCAACAGCAAUCAAGAGUUUAACAGUAGAAAGCUUGGCAACUGGUGAAAAGGUAUCGACAUAGUCAAGGCCUUCCUGUUGGGUAUAACCCUUAGCAACCAAACGAGCCUUGUAGCGCUCAAGACUCCCAUCAGCAUUCAACUUGACUUUGAAAACCCAUUUACAACCAACAGGCUUUUUACCUUCAGGUAAAGAACAGAUAAUCCAUGUUCCAUUGUCUUCAAGCGCAGUUAACUCGAUUCCCAUAGCAUCACACCACUCCUUAAGAUCCUUAGCCUGUUUAUAAGACGUUGGUUAUAGGAUCUUAUUCACAGCAUUAAUGAAGAUCAGAUAAGGGUCAGACAACGCAGAGUAGCAAAGGACCUCAGAGAGUGGAUGUUGAGUGGAAGAAUCAAGAGAAUAGCAAUGAUAGUCUUUAAGAUAAGAAGGAGGUUUAGAAGCUCUCGUACGUGUAGUAUCAGGUACAGCGUCUGAAGAUGUACCAGGUGAGGAAUUCUCCGUAUGAUCAGGGUGGACCACAGGAAAGAAAUCCAAAACAUCAGGAGAGAGACUUCCCCUCUGUCUAAAAGGAAACAAGUCCUCGUAGAAGACUACAUUGCGAGAGACAAAGACUGAAUUACUCUGAAGAUCAAGCAGCUUGUAACCUUUGUAUCCCGGUGGAUAUCCAAUGAAAACGCAGGCACAAGCUCGAUCUUGGAACUUGUGGCGAUGUUUAGGUGAAGUACUGACAUAGCAGAGACACCCAAACGUUUUCAGAUGAGUAUAUUCAGGCUUUUUGUGAAGAAGCAUCUCAAAUGGAGUUCUGUUGGAAAGGACCUUGGAAGGAGUCCGAUUGAUGAGAAAAACAGCUGUGAGAACACAUUCACCCCAUAGAGAGAGAGGCACUUGAGACUGAAACAACAAAGAUCUAGCAACAUUCAGGAUAUGCUGAUGCUUCCGCUCAACAACCGAGUUUUGUUCAGGCGUCUCUGGACAAGAAUGGUAGGAAACGAUGCCCUUUUUUUUGUACAAAGAAUCAAAUUUUAAUUCAGGUGCAUUAUCAGAUCGAACACCUUUUAUCUGUGCAUCAAAUUGUUUCUCAACCAUUGCUAUGUACUCAGGAAAGACUGUAAGAACAUCACUCUUUAAGCGCAUCAAGUAAAUCCAAGUGACCCUUGUGUGGUCAUCUACUAUUGUCAAAAAAAUCUUAAUCCCUCCUGUGUUGGUUCUGAGAAAGGCCCCCAAACAUCAAUGUGAAGCAAUUCAAAUGGAGAAGAACAGAAGUUGUGACGAGUAGGAAAAGACAAUUUCUUUUGCUUAGCACGAUGACAAAUAUCACAAUGCAGUAAACCCUUAUUUUUGGCUUUGGAAAUACCAAGUUCAUCCAUACGAAGGUCUAAACGUUCAAAAGAAGUAUGGCCAAGCCUUUGAUGCCAAACAGAUGCAUCAAUUACAGAGUUGUAAGAAAAGAAGUAGAAACAGGUUCUGCAGGUGCUGAAUCAUCCACAUCCAACACGUACAGAUUAGCUACCCGUCUACCGCUUCCAAUCGUCGAGCCCUUGAUACGAUCCUGUAUCAGACAAGAGUCAGGAUCAAAUAUCACUCGAGAGCCCAUAGCCGAUGUCAAAGCACUGAUACUCAACAAAUUCAGGCAAAACUCAGGUAUAUACAGAACAUUCUUCAAGACAAUAUCAGCAUUGAUUACAACACCACUGACUUUAACUGUAGCUCCAUUAGGUAAGUUCACAUGAUGCUGAACAGCAGUAUUAAUAUCACAGAACAGCGAGAUAUCGUGUGAAACAUUAUGAGUUGCACCAGAGUCAAUAAUCCAGGUUUUAACAGCAGUCACACAUUCAGUAACAUUAAGAAUACCGAUGAAACUGAAUGUGAAGGAUGAGAAAGUAAUACCAGAUGGGUUAUUGGCUUGAGAACUCGUACUUGCAGAAGACACAUUAGUGGAAGGAGUAUGUGGUUUCGGCUGUAGCUGAGAACUGAAGAAAGCAAUGAAAUUAUGUAUCUGAUCCUUAGUCAUGCUUCCAACAAGGCUAUCCAAACCUGGCUCUGAUACCAUAUUACAAACGAUGAGUGAUGAACAGAAAUGGAUCAAGCUCAAUCGAUCAUGGAGAAGAUGAGCUCGAGAGAGAAAGAUGAGAAGAAGAUAUUUUGGGAAAAUUUCUGUUAUUUCAUUAAGGGAAAUAUACAAGAGUUAUAUACAAUUGUUGUGUGAUACCCGGGACAAACCGGUUAACUAUUUACAGAUAGUAUUUACAAUAACCAACUAAACCAAGGCCUAAUAGUACCAGACUAGACUUUCUUUAUAAGAAAUCUUUGUACAAUUUAUCUAACAAUACAAACAGAAACAACAAGUUUAGUGAAAUUUUCUUACAUGAUAUUGCAGAGUUAUAUAAGUGACAUCUACCGUCCAAACUUAACAACCUUUCAAGUUUCAACAUACAAGAACUUCCAGAGUCGUAGAUUUAUAUACUUCGUGUAUUUCUAAAGUUUAAUCACAAAAGUGCAACUCUUAUUAGCAAUAGUAAUUCAAUCGUUCGUCUACAAAUGCGAAACAUUAAUACAAACUCAAAUUAGAGUUUCAUGGACUACAUAUAAUGUAUACAGUAAAACCUCUAUAAAUUAAUAAUGUUGGGACCAUGAUAUUUUAUUAAUUUAUCGUGAUAUUAAUUUAUCUAUAAAUUAAUAAUUAUUAAUUUAUAGAAAAAAUUGUUUUUUGCAUAUAAUUUUCUAAAAAUUUAUUUAGAAUAAUGUUAUAUUUUAUAAUUUUAACAAAUAUCAUAAUAUACAUUAUGAUUAAAAAUCAUAACUAUCACAAUAAAAUAAUUUUCAGUAUAUUAGAUUGUCCAUAAAAAAUAUACAUGUUCAUAAGUUUAAAAUUUAUAAAAAAAACUAUGGUUACUAUCAGUAUUAUUGAUGAUAAAAUUGAAGAUAAUACUACAAUACAUUUACAAAUAUUUACAUGUAAGAAAAUCAGUUAUCACAUCAAAAAAUCAUCAUAAAUUUUGAAUGUAUAUAGUAAAACAGCAAUAAAAGUUACUAAUAUAAUAAUUAGAGAGAUGACUUUAACUAAAAACAAACACAUUAGUCAUAUUUUAAAAUAUUAAAUUUAUAUAUAUUUGCAUAAAAUUAUAUAAUUAUUAAUUUAUGUUUUUGUUGGGACCAUGUAUUUACAUAAGGGUUUCAAAAAAAAUUAUUAUCUUCUUAUUUUAUCUAAUUUGAUGGAUUUUUACAUUGACCCGACUUGAAACCAGCAAAAUUUAUUAAUUUAUAGUGAUUAUUAAUUUAUCGAGUAUUAAUUUAUAGAGGUUCUAAUGUAUUUAAGGUAUGGAUCCCACGUACUAUUUUUAUAAGUUUACAAAAAUCAAUUCUUCGUAAACGUAUGACUCACAACUACAACAACCUGGCGUCACGCCUCAGUACGUAGUUUAUUAAAUAAACAGGUCAAAUAUUUAUGUUGCAUUCAAUACCAACUGCACAGGAAAAUAUUCCCAUAUUCAUGCAUGGUAACUCGUUCAACAAAUAAGAAUAAACUUACGUAAGCAUUACCACCCAACCAACAAAUUAAAUCUGGAAACAUGUUUGAAGUUUUCAAAUCACAUACUAGACAUUUCAAAUAUAUGAUCACCUUUUCAACAACUGUAGUGAAGUACUGAAAUAAAUAUAUACUUUAUUUUACAUGUCCUGUUAUUUUACAAUAUUUAGAUUUACAUUGUCAAGAAAAAAAUAACGUUCUUUGUUCUUUUGUUGGGCAUGGCUCGAUGCCUCGAUGGCUAGAGGAACUCUCAACUAAGCGUGUUGAACCGUUAAGGUUUGCCAUCCAGCUCAGCUGUAUUAACGACACGUGGAAAAGUCAGACCCAUUGAUUCAACAUUUGACUAAACUUCUACAGUUCUACUGUUCCGACUUACGAAUGUAUAGAGAAUCGCAGCCGCUUAAUGGGCCUCAUUGACUUAUUAGCCCAUAAAUGUCUUCGUGUAAAAUAUAUGUGCACAAAAAAAUGAAAAAGACGUUGUCAAGAAAGAAAAAAUGAAAAAGACUAUACAAUCUUUUUAACUAAGAAAUCUCAUUCUUUGUAUACAUCGAAACAGAGACAGAAAACACAACAAUAUUUGCUUUUGAGUUAUAGAAUGAUUUAAGAAAUUAUUAUUGUUUUGGGAUAGUUUUUUAUAUGACUUUAUAUAUAGAUAAAUAUCACAUUUAUGUUCAAAAUCUGUUUAUAUUAACAAACUGGUUUAAGAAAGAUAAUCUAAAAUAUAUAGCAUAAAAUAAAUUUGAAUUACCCUUAAUUUUUUUUGGGGUAAAAUUUACCCAUAGUUAUAGAAAAGUAAAUACUAUGGAUAAACUCGAAACUAGUAAACUUAUCAGGUAAGUAGUCUUCAAUCACGUGUCUAUUCACUAGAGAUUUCUCGGAAAAAAAAAAUUCUUGCAUCGGCCUAUGAUAUCGGACUGUGAGAACUGAGAAUCAUCAAAAUGCAAGGAGGAAUAGUGCAUCUCACCACUCCAGUCUUCACUGAAUGUCGUCAACAUGUGAUGGGAGCAUACACACAAACGGAAAAAAGGCCGAUUCGUACCUCAACACUAUAACUUGUACCAAUAAAUAUCCAUACAAUUUUAAUAGGUUAAUCAGUACCUGAACUUAUUAAAAUUGGUAAAUACAUACCUCAACAAUGUUUUUGUGGCCAAUUAGUACAUUGACUUACUGUUAGUCAAAUCUGUUAAUUUGCAAACAGAAUCCGACUCAGAUGCCACGGUGGAUGUUGUGUUCGAAUGAAACCAAUACAACGUCGUUUAAGGUUAAAAAUUUGGAAAAAGAGGCAAAAACAACGUCGUUUUAAAUUUAUUAUUCAUUAAAAAAAUAAACCAUCUAUAUCUUUUUUCAUCUUCGUCGUCCCUCUUCUUCGUCAACUUAAAACGGGGAAGAACAUCGAUAGUUAGGGUUUGGGUAGUGUUCGAAAAAAUCGGAAUGACUUCAUUGUCGAACUCUUACGCUUCCUCGAAGAUUCCAGGUAGGUUUAAGUUUGCAAUUUUGAUUUUGAUUUUGAUUCAAACACUUUCAGAAAAUCAAAUCGGAAAUUUCAAUUUUGAUUUUUUAAAAAUGUAUAAUAAAUUUAAAACGACGUCGUUUUUGCCUCUUUUUCCAGAUAUUUAACCUUAAACGACGUCGUAUUGGUUUCAUUCGAACACAGCAUCCACUAUGGCAUCUGAGUCGGAUUCCGUUUACAAAUUAACAGAUUUGACUGACAGAGAGGAAGUCAAUAUACUAAUUGGCCACAAAAAUAUUAUUGAGGUAUGUAUUUACCAAUUUUAAUAAGUUCAGGUACUGAUUUACCUAUCAAAUUUUUUUGGGUAUUUAUUGAUACUAAAUUAUGGUGUUGAGGUACUAAUCGGCAUUUUUCCCACACACAAACUAGGAAGACAUUCACUGGCCAAACCUAACUAACGUUCAUGCUUUGAUGGUGUAUUGUAGGAACGCCCCGAACCUACUUAACACAUGACACAUGCAUACUAUCGACAAACGGAAAACAUAUUAGUCCCAUAGAAUAGUGAGUGAUGGAUGCUGUAUCCGAAGUCCGAACCCGAUUAAAAUAUAUAUCACAUAGAUACCUAGCUAGACGCCUAAUACAAAGUGAUAUAUAUAUAUAUAAGAGAUAUUGACUCUCGAGUCUCGACCAAUAUAUAUCUUAAAAUAUUCAAAAUGUACCCUAAACACCUAAAAUCUUAGAACAACCAUAUACUAUCUCAAGCGGUUGCUUCCUCGUUUAACCUCUUUACGAGCCUUUUGUCACUCUAGCGUAAGAGGGCCUUUGAAAUAUCCCACAUUGGUGUCUCGAGUGAUUUGAUCGCUUCUUUCGUGGUGUACAAGUUUAUUUACUCUUCACUGAAUCACGUAUUAAAAUAUGUUUUAGCGUAAUCCUUGAAACAUUAUGAACUCCUUGGAUUCUCUAUUAAUGAGAACACAAUAUAUGUAGAAAUCGAUCUCACGCAACUAAUAAUCUACAUACUAUUUUUACUUACAAUUUAUGUAACUCAUAAUAUUUAUGUUAUUUUCAUAUGUUUAUCUUUCUCUACGCAAACAACACAACAAAUGUGGAAAUAUAUAUGGUCCAAUGGCUGACUGAUGAGAAUGACAAACAUUAUGAAUUUUUGCAGAUCAAGAGAGACAAACCCUUACUAGAGGUGCAAGGUAAAGUAUAAAAUGGUUAUUCAUAAAUAUGAUGCAAGUAAAAUCGUUUAUCGUAAAUCUCUGUAAUACAAGUAUAAUGGUACGCUGUUGUAGAAUUAUUUUAUUGUAUUUCUAAUUUACAAUUACUGUAAAAAAUUAGUUUUGCGUAAAUUAAUAAAUCAUCAUAAUAUGGUGGUAAAAAAUAAAAACUGAAAAGUUAUAUAAGGUUAUUAAAACUUUUAACAAAAAAAUAUAAGGUUAUCAAAAAACUGCAGAUUAACUGUAUAAUGUGAGCUGUGUUUUGAUAGAUAUACACUCCAUAUAAGAUAAGAAAAGAUUAUAGGGGUAGGGAACAAAAGGAAAGUUGGUAAAGGUGAAAAAGAAAUAAAAAAUACCAUAGAAGAAAGCUCGGUACAGAUAAAUAGAGAAAUAGACAAUCGAGGUCCAAAAAAAAAAAAAAAAAAAAAGAGAAAUAGACAAUCUACACACACUGAUUUUAAAUCUUCCUCCUCAUCCUCCUCGGUUUCCGGCGAGUGUUUAUCUUCUUCUCCGGCACAUCGACUCGUCUUUCCGAUCAGGUCUCAGCUUCGUUUCCGCACCUGUCCUAAAAACUUAAUGUUUAUCUUAUAUUUUAGCUUCCACAUUACUAUAGCAUGAAUUCACUUCGUAAUCUGAGAUCUUUUGUUUCUCUUUGGUCUCACCUCUAGCUCAAAAUCGAAGCUAUACUAUAGUAUAAUGAUUAUUAUAAUUUGUCUUUUUAGUUUCCUCGAUCUACUCCUUCGAUUUUACUCUCAAGACCAUUGAUAAUCCCAAUUGCUCUAUUGCAGAAUCCUUUCCCAGAAGAUUUGAGGGAUCUAAUUGUUGCAUCGACGAGUUGAUUGCUGUGAAGUAGAAACCCUAGAGGCCUCAGGAUUUUGCAUAAAUCGGCUGAUUGUAAUUUGAAACCGAGGAUGUGUAGGCAAAAUUGUCGCGCGAAAUCCUCACCGGAGGAGGUGAUUUCAGCUGAUGAGAAUCUCUUGAUAUAUUGUAAACCUGUUCAGCUUUACAACAUUCUUCACAUUCGCUCUCGAUCCAACGUAUGAUUUGCUUCUCUCUCUCUCUCUCUCUCUGUCUCUCAUCAGUUUUUGUUUUUAGCUCAAUCUCACAUGUGAGACAGUAGUUUGGGUUUUAGGUUUAGCUGAUUCUGGUCUGUGACUCACUCAUGGUGGCGAGUUUGUGCUUCUUUUGCCUCUUAUGUUUAUCUUCACUUUGUUCUUUGUUUAUGCAGCCAUCGUUUCUUCCAAGAAGCUUGAACUACAGAAUUCGAGCAAAGGGCCUAAGAAGGUAUGAGAUUUCUUCUUGGAUUGAAUAGUCACUAAAGUGAUUAUGGAAACAGAUUAUAUAUACAUUAUACCUAGGUUGAGUAGAUAUGUUGAGUAGAUAUGGACAUGUUGAGAGGUUUCUUCUCUGUUCAUGCUAAUGCUCUUAUAAUUCUCUAUUGUGUUUCGAUUAGGUCCAGAUCUGCUGGGAUGGUAGUUUUCAACUAUAGGGAUUGCGAUAACACAUCUCAGAAAACUGAAGGUGAGUUCUUUCUCUGUUCUUGGGCAUUUCGAUGUAUGUGUCUCUCUCUCUAUGUUUCUCUAGUUUACUUUUUAUUAUAAAAAAUUCUGUAUUGUCAUGCAGUUAUGGAGAAUUGUUCUUGUCCAUUUUGCGAUAUGCUAUGUGGUAGCUUCAAGGUGCGAAACUAUUACUACUGAGAUUUCUUCCGAGGCCUUCCAUAUUUGUGAAAUGGUGCUGCUGUUUCAUGUCGUAUACUUGCAUAUUUUGUGUUUCGUUGAUCUUCUCACUCUUUUUAACUGACGAGUGUGGUUAUCCGGGAAAACGUGUUCCACUUGAAGCUUACAAUCCAUUGUCUUGUGUCUGUGCAGGGGCUGCAACUUCAUUUAAAUUCAUUUCAUGACUUAUUUGAAUUUGAGUUCGUGGUAUGUGCUUUUUAAUGGAUUUCCUUGUUUUGCUAUGUCUUGUUGUUUUUAUAUGAAAUCAUAGUUAAUAAGGGUCUUUCCUAUUAUAGGUUUCAGAAGAAUACCAGACAGUUAAUGUCUCUGUAAAACUUGAUGCAUUCGGAUUUGAGGUCAGCUACGUUUAAUUUGGUAACUUAGUAAAACCUUCAGGUGGUCAACAUUUUAGUUGAUAUUCCUUCCUUCUUUAUUUCAGGUAGAAGGAAGUCAAGAAGAUAAGUUUGAACCGUUCUCUUUUUGGUAACUUAUCAAAAGCCAACUUUUCAAAACCCCUUAAAUAUCAGCAAAUUCUUUGCUUUUCUUUUCAGUACAUCUCCAUGAACCCAAACAAAAUGUCUUGCAGUUCGAAGCCUCGUCAGCGUACACAAAGAGGUGGUAGAAAAAGGCGACUUAAUGUACGCUUUUUACCAAUGGAUUCACCCAGUUUAGCUAAUGAGACAGAAAAUGGAAACGCACUGCUGAAUGAUGGUAAAAUCUCCUCUUCUCCUUUUGGCUUUGCGCUUCGAAUUUUGGGAGAAGAUAUAGUGUCUUGAUUAUUCGGUUAUUGUACUUCUCCUCUCAUUCUUUUCUCGAGGGAAAUAUUACCAUAACUGAUAUACAAAAUUAAUGGCAUGCUGCAGGAAACCGUGGUUUAGGAAAUCCUGAGUCAACUAAUCUCGCUGGACAAUUUGGGAUGACUAGCAACACUCCACCAGCCAUAGCUCAAUCUUCUCUGGACUCCGAUGGUAAAGCUAUGUUAACAAGCGAAGCUGUGGUGGCCCCUCCUGCUAAGACAAGAAAGUUAUCUGCUGAGCGCUCAGAGGCUAGAAGGUUUGUUCAUCAUGACAGUCAGUUUUAGUAGUUUACCAUUCCUGUUUUUACAACCUGUUCUUCCUAUUAUGAAUUGCUGUUUCCUUAACUGCCAUAUUAACCGGAAAUUUUUCUUUCAGCAACCUACUUCUCCAGAAACGCCAGUUCUAUCAUUCUCACGGAGGUCAGGUGAUUCAAGUUCCUUCACCGACUUAUUUUGCAUGUUAUUUGAAUUGCACCGUUAUCAUAUCCUACCAAAGUAGACUUGUUCCCAAUCCAAGUUACUCUUUCUCAUUAAUAGUUUGUAUCUAUAUCCACGCGAAUAAUGAGAUGUCCAUGUUACUGUUAUAUUGUCACUAACCAAAAACUGCAUGUUUUUGUGACAAAGCCAAUGUCACUUGAGCAAGUGAUGUCUGGUGGAGAUAGUGAAGAUGAAGUUGAUGAUGACGUUGCAGAUCUCGAAGAUCGCCAGGUAUUCCAUGAUUUCUUUCUGAAUUUCAUUUGAUAAACAACGAACAAUGGUGUAUAUGAUGUAGCUUGCUAAUGGCUUUUGAAACUUACAAAAAAGCUGCAGAUGCUUGAUGACUUUGUGGAUGUGAAUAAAGUCGAAAAGAGACUCAUGCACCUCUGGAACACAUUUGUAAGGAAGCAAAGGUAAUACACAUUAAUACACACAUAUGCACAGGUUUACGUGAGAUUCAUGGUAACGAUAUACUGUACAGUAGAAUUGCUUUUGCUAUAGAAUAGGUUAUCUAAUAAUAUAUAGAUGUUGAAUAGAUUGAUCGAUCCACCACUAUUGAUUUUUCUUAUGGAACAUUUUGCUCAAAUCAAAAUAUGAUUAUUUGUUGCAGGAUUCUCGCGGAUGGUCAUGUUCCUUGGGCUUGUGAAGCGUUUUCAAAGUUUCACAAGAGCGAAUUGCUCCAAUGCUUAUCACUCUGCUGGUAAAUCUCUCCAGAAUUAUAUAUGUAUUUAUAUAAUACACCAAGAACAUUUUGUAUACACAAUAACAACAACAUUUGUAUGUUGUUCAGGUGUUGGAGAACAUUUUUGGUCAAACUAUGGAACCAUGGACUUGUCGACGCGAACACCAUCAACAACUGCAAUCUCAUCCUCGAGACUUGCGAUAAUAACUCAGACAACACCAACAAUAACUCAGGCAACACCAACAACACCAACAACACCAACAACAAUGACUCAGACAACACCAACAAAAAUAACAGUGUGGAUCAUCGCGAGGAUAUGGAUGUUGACGACGGUGACAAAAACAGCAAAGACAAGUAAUAGGAAGAUCUCCGAUUCAAAACGACUCCGUUUAUCGAAUUGCAACUUCCAUCUUUUACCAAACAGAGAGAUAUUUAACCUUUUUAGUCUGCUAAUGAUUGCAAUUUUUACUUGGGAAAAUGUAUUCUGCUCAACUUUUAUCAGUUAGAACUUAGAAUGUUAUUCUUCUUGUUUUCUUCUCAUUAAUUCAUAUUUUCUUGUUUAUUCAUUUUAUUUCUCUCAAUGCACUAAUCCUUAGUAGAAAUUCUUAUUUGUGUAGUGAUUUGCUUAGAUGUCAGCUCCACAGCGAGUUUCAGAAUGUUUUGCUUACGUGUCAGCUUUAAAAAAAAAUUUGGCUAUAAAAACACUUACCUUAUUUUUCAAUUAUAUGGCAUUUUUAUUUAUUUUUUAUGAUGUAUUAAAAUAACUUAAAACAAAACGCUCUAAAUUAUUAUGGUUUAAUGUCAAUCAAACCGUUUCUAAAAAUUUUUAAAACCGAAAUUUUGUAAACUAAUGAAAAAAGUAAAAAAAAUAAUAAUAACGGUAUUUAUGAUGUUUAGAUUAGAGUUUUUGAUUUCAAAUCUUUUAGUAUAAAUAUAUACACGAUUUUUCUUUAAUAUUCUCACACCCUUUUAAAUUUUUAAACAUCUUCGUUUUUUGUUGAAUAAAUCCGUACAGUACUUCAGUACUUCAAAUCAUUAUAUUUUUGUUCUAUGAUUGUGAGUAUAUAUAUAGUUUGUAUCCUCGUUCAAAAACCGUAUCAGCCCAAUAGACAAAAAAAAUAUUUAUAGUCAGCAUCAUGUCUUCAAACAUUAAAAUGCAAAAAAACUAACAAGCAAAUAUACUCAAUAAUAAAGAACAGAAACUCAAUGAAUCCAAACUAUUAUUAAAUUUUAAACAAUCAAAUAAAAAAUUAUAUCAGUCUGCGCAAAACGCGAAAAUAUUCACUAAUUCAUUUUAUUUCUCUCAAUGCACUAAUCCCUCAUAGAAAUGCUAAUUAGUGAGAAGAUUUUUAAUUAAUUAGGGUUUACAGAUUAUAGGCAUUCAAAUUAAAUUAUAAGAAAGAAAAAAUUCUAAGGUCCAAUAAGUUCUCCGCUUCCCAUAAUUUUAGGGGAAAUUAGCGCGCGAAACAAAAGAAAUUCGAAAAGUAAAAUAAAUCUCUCAAAUUGCAGAAGCCUAAGUGGUAAGAGAGAGAGAGAGAGAGAGAGAGAGAGAGAGAGAGAGAGAGAGAGAGAGAGAGAGAGAGAGAGAGAGAGAGAGAGAGAGAGAGAGAGAGAGAGAGAGAGAGAGAGAGAGAGAAACACUGACUCUUUCUCAAUUGUACAUGUUAGACCUAUGAGGUCUCCUCAGACAACGAAGAAAUGGAAAAUAAUUCAUCAGUUGGAUUGUUCAAUGACUCAAAGAAAGAAGUGAAAAAAGAAUCAAGCUUCAAGCAGGAACCAGUAUUCUGUGAACCAAGGUGUAGCCCUGGAAUUUCCCGGUACAACCCAAAACUGCAAUUUCCUUUGAAGAACGAAGCUUCUUUACAUGAGCUGACACAGCAACAUAUCCAAGAAACCAUUUCCAUGAGCUCCAGUAGACAAAAGUCUCCAAAAAAGGCCGCUCAGAAGGCUUGUCUAGAUGAAAACCUGGAGUCAGUAGACCAAGAAUCAGAUGACAAGGAAAACCACUGAAACUGGAUUUGUGACGAUGAAAAGGGCGAGAUUCAGAGAAGCAAGAGACAGAUGUUCCAUGACUAAACCAAAUAGAGGAGUUCUAAUGGGGUGUUCGAGAGGUGAAGAGUUAAAGAACAUAGCUGGGGAGGAAGACAAAGAAGAAAGAAAGAAGAAGAGAAGAGUUUUGGGGGAGAUGUCGAAUCACCAGUUCUCUGGAGUCGUGGAGAUUCCAGGAAAAUGGCAUUGCCCUCAGAGAAAUAAAUGGAAAUCAGGUCCACUAUUGAAACAGCUCCGACUUGAUGCAUGGGUACAUAAAGUCUGAGUCUUUAAGAAGGCUUCACGUUUCAUCAACAAUGUAUCAUAUUAUAUCCCUCUCUUUUUGUAGUUUUCCAUAUUAUGCUCAAACUGGUAGAUAACACAAGAGUGGAUCAGACCAAAACUACUAAUUUUCUGUAUUGGCAUGUAGUUAUGGAGAAUUGUUCUUGUCCAUUUUGCGAUAUGCUAUGUGGUAGCUUCAAGGUCGGAAACUAUUCGGAGGCCUUCCAUAUUUAACACAUUUGUGAAAUGCUGCUGCUGUUUCUUGUCGUAUACUUGCAUAUUUUGUGUUAUGUUGAUCUUCUCGCUCUUUUUAAACUGCCGAGUGUGGUUAUCCGAGCAAAAGUGUUCCAAAUGGAGCUUAUAGUUAUAGUUAAUAAGGGUCUUUCCUAUUGUAGGUUUCAAAAGACUACCAGACAGUUAGGGCUUAGAAGAUGUUAUUGGGAGGUUGAUUUAUGAAGAUUUUAAGAAUCUAAAAUUCUAUGGUUAUUGGUUUGUGGAAUUUUACAUUCUUAAUAGAUUCCACUGUUAUUCAUUUACAGAUUAUAAAAAUCUAUUGUUAUUGAUUUGAUGAUUUUUAUAAACUAUCCAAAAUCCAUUGUUAUUCAAAAAGUUUACAUUUUAAUGAUUAUCUGAUUCUGUUAUAAUCUAUUGUUACUGAAUAAUGAUUCUUUACAAUUUAAUUCAUAAAUCAUGAUUCUUAAAAUACUAUUUAUAUCCUUUGGAUUCUCAAGGUCUUGUCAUAUUACAAAUAUUUUGUGGAUUGUUUAAAUCCAAACUCUCUCCAAAUUUUACAAAUCCAACAAAACUCUAAAAAAAUUGACAAAUUUCAUGACUUUUAAAAUCAACUAAGAGGGUGUUAUUGGUUCUAUAUGUUGAAAUCAACUCCAUUAGAAUGGAGUAGAUCAGAUUUUAAAUUUUUUUAAUUUAUUUAGAAUCUAUUAUAUAUGAGUUGUUUAAAAUUUUAAAUUACUUAGUAGUGUAUUUAGAAAGUCACAUGAUAUCAUUUAAAAUAUAAUAGAAUAGAAUUCUCAAUAAAUUUUAGAUUUAAAAAGAUCAAAGAAAAAAACAACCUAUAAAACACAUACGUAACAAAAAAACCAACAUAAAAAAUGCAACCUAAGAAAAAAAAAAAACACAUUCACUCUGUAUUGGUUUGAAUCCAUCCUAAUUUUCUUCCACUGACAUACUAACAAAAACGUCUUGUAUUCUCGAAUGGAGAAGGGAAAAAGAUAUGUGCGAGGAAAAAUAGAGAAAUGGACCAGGGAAAAGUCAAAAAUGGAGAGAAAAGAAAAAAUAGAGGGAAAAGAGAGUAACAUAAGGUUAAUAAUUUUAGAAUUAUAUUUUAGAAUUAUCAAAAUCUGAAGGUAAAAUGUUAGAUUUUGAUUGCUACAUUUAACACAUAAAAAUAGUUUAACUCUUUCACCUAAAAUCAGUUGUAAGAGUCGGUUAAACUUGAAUAACAUAAGAUUUUAACUGACUUAUUCAACUCUUUUAAUUGAAUAACAAUGGAUUUUCAAACUCUAUUAAUGGAGAGAUUAUAAAUACAUGAAUCAAAAUCUUUGAAUUUUUAUAAAGAAAUAAAAUCAAUGGAUUUAGACUUUAUUAAAAACCAUGAUUGAAUAAAAAUCUUUAUAAAUCUAACUCUCAAUAACCCCACAUUAAUGUCUCUAUGCAUUCGGAUUUGAGGUCACCUACGAUAAAUUUGGUAGCUUAGUAAAAUCUACAGCUGGUCAAUUUUAGUUGAUAUCCUUCCUUUUUGAUAUCAGGUAGAAGCAAGUCAACAAGAUAAGUUUGAACCGUUCUCUUUUUGGUAACUUAUCAAAAGCCAGACUUUUCACAACCCCUUAAAUAUCAGCAACUCCUUUGCUUUUCUCUUCAACUCAUCUCCUUUGCAUUUCUUUUCAAUUCAUCUCCUUUGCUUUUCUUUUCAACUCAUCUCCUUGAACCCAAACAUAAUGUCUUCCAGUUCCAACCCUCAUCAGCAUACACAAAGAGGUGGUAGAAAAAGGCGUCUUAAUGUACGCUUUUUACCGAUGGAUUCACCCAGUUUAGCUAAUGAGACAGAAAAUGGAAACGCACUGCUGAAUGAUGGUAAAUUCUCCUCUUCUCCUUUUGGCUUUGCGCUUCAAAAAUUUUAGGAGAAGAUAUACAGUGUCUGAAUUAUUCGGUUAUUUUAAUGGCAUGCUGCAGGAAACCGUGGUUUAGGAAAUCCUGAGUCAAGUAAUCUCGCUGGACAAUUUGGGAUGACUAGCAACACUCCACCAGCCAUUGCUCAAUCUUCUCUGGACUCUGAUGGUAAAGCUAUGUUAACAAGCGAAGCUGUGGUGGCCUCUCCUGCUAAGACAAGAAAGUUAUCUGCUGAGCGAUCAGAGGCUACAAGGUUUGUUCAUCAUGACACUCAGUUUACCAUUCCUGUUUAUAAAUCAAAAGCUGUUCUUCCUAUUAUGAAUUACUUAACUGCCAUAUUAACCGGGAACUUUUCUUCCAGCCACCAACUUCUCCAGAAACGCCAGUUCUAUCAUUCUCGCACAGGCCAGGUGAUUCAAGUUCCUUGGACGACUUAUUUUGCAUGUUAUUUGAAUUGCACGUUAUAAAAUACUAUCAAAGUAGACUUGGUCCCAAUUCCAUGUUACUCUUUCUCAUUAAUAGUUUGUAUUUAUGCUACUGUUUGUAUCCACGCGAAUAAUUUCGAUGUCCAUGUUGUCACUGUUAUAUUGCCACUAACCAAAAAAACUGUUGCAUGUUUUUGUGACAAAGCCAAUGUCACUUGAGCUGGCAAUGGCUGAAGAAGAUAGUGAAGAUGAAGUUGAUGAUGAGGUUGCAGAUCUCGAAGAUAGCCAGGUAUUCCAUGAUUUCAUUCUGAAUUUCAUUUAAUAAAUAAUGAACAAUGAUGUAUGAUGUAGCUUGCUAAUGGCUUUUGAAACAGAUGCUUGAUAAUUCUGCGGAUAACACUAAAGUGCAGAAAAGGUUCAUGUACAUUUGGAACACAUUUGUAAAGAAGCAAAGGUAAGACACUUUAAUACAAACAUAUGCACAGGUUUACGUGAGAGUCAUGCUAACUAUAUACAAUAGAAGAAUUGCUUUUGCUAUAGAAUAGGUUAUCUAAUAUAUAGAUAUUGAAUAGAUUGAUCGACGAUCCACCACUAAUGAUUUUGGUUAUGGAACUUUUGCUUAAAUCAAAAUAUGAUUUUUGUUAUGGAACAUUUUAUGCUCAAAUCAAAAUAUGAUUUUUUGUUGCAGGAUUCUCGCAGAUUGUCAUGUUCCUUGGGCUUGUGAAGCGUUUACAAAGUUUCACAAGAUCGAAUUGCUCCAAUGCACAUCACUCUGCUGGUAAAUCUCUCCAGAAUUAUAUAUGUAUUUAUAUAGUACACCAAGAACAUUUUGUAUACACAAUAACAACAACAUUUGUAUGUUGUUCAGGUGUUGGAGAACAUUUUUGGUUAGACUAUGGAACUAUGGACUUGUUGACGCGACCACCAUCAACAACUGCAAUACGUUCCUCGAGACCUGCAGAAAUAACUCACGCAACACCAAAAACAAGAACAGUGUGGAUCAUCGCGAGGAUAAGGAUGCUGACGUAAACAUUAAUAACGAUAUGGAGGUUGACGACGGUGACAAGAACAGCAAAGACAAGUAAUAGGAAGAUCUCCGAUUCAAAAACGACUCCGUUUCUCGGAUUGCAACUUCCAUCUUUUACCAAACAGAGAGAUAUUUAACCUUUUUAGCCUGCAACUGAUUGCAAAUUUUACUUGGGAAAAUGUAUUAUGGUCAACUUUUUAUCAGUUAAAACCUACAAAUAAAACUUUUUAUUAGUUAUAACUUAAAAUGUUAUUCUUCUUGUUUUUUUCCAAAUUAAAUUCGUCUUUCUUGUAUAUUCAUUUUAUUUAUCUCAAUGCACUAUUCCUUAAUAGAAAUGCUAGUUAGUGAGAAGAUCUUUAAUUAGACCAUUAAUGUUUGCAUGGUUUUUAGAUUUUGGUUUUUGGUUUUUGAUUUUUCUGUAAAUUUUAGGUUUUAAGAAACUGGAAUGGUGAAUUAUUUUAGUUUUUGGAUUAGAAGGAAAAAAUUUGCAAAAAAAAAUAAAAAUAAAAAAUCUCAGCAAUUAAUGGGAAAACCCCAUAUAUGUUCUAGGCCUUGAUUGUUUGCAGUUUUUGGAACAGAUUUUUAUUUUUAUUUUUUCAAAAACCAAUUUUUCAUCCAAUCAUGAUUUUGGUUAAAGGGAUUCCCUAAUUUUUAUAAAAACUAGAUUUUCUACUGAUUUACCAAUUCCUACAUAGAUAUUUUUUUUCAUUAAUUGCUGAGAUUUUUUAUUUUUCUUUUUGCAAAUUUUUUUCCUUCUAAGCCAAAAACCAAAAUUUAAAAAUAAUUCAAACAUUCAUGACCCUAGUUUUGAUUUUUUGAUUCUAGUUUCUACGUAGGAAUUGAAAAAACUAUGGAAAAUCUAGUUUUUCUAAAACUUAGGGAAUACUUUUGAUCAGAAUCAAAAACUUGGUUUUUUUAAAAAAAAAAACAAUUACCAAAAUCUGUUCCAAAAACUGCAAAGUAGGGUUUAGAUUAAGAUUAUAGGCAUUCAAAUUAUAAGGCCCAAUGCCGUAAGAAAAAAAAAAAUUAUAAGGUCCAAUAUUAUAUUUAGUUUUCCGCUUCGCAUAAUUUGAGGGAAAAUUAGCGCGCGAAACCAAAGAAAUUCGAAAAGUAAAAUAAACCUCUCAAAUUGCAGAAGCCUGAGGGGUAAAAGAAAGAUUGAGAGAGAGAGUGUGAGACGGAGUACAGAGCUCUAAUGGAGGAAUUUAUCUCGCUGGUACUUUUGUAUAACCUACUUUCUGAUUUUUGGUGAAUUUGUUGAGAUUUCGAGUUUAUAAUUUCUUUUUAUUAACUGAAAUCUCCGAUUAAUCUUUCUGGCAGGAACCUGGAUACUCCGAUUCGCCAUCUCCCAUUUCCGGUGAGUAAUUAAUUACUGGGGUUUAAUUAUCAUACGCCUUAAUUGCAAUUCUGACAUUUCUGGGUAUUGAUUUCCUACAGAACCACCAGAUAUUACGAACUGGUUUUCCAGUUAUGUCUAUGAAUCGUUCCAAUUGAGUUCUUCAGUAAAAGAAAGUGAAAGCGAACUAAAUCAGUUUUCUGUUGGAGAAGAACAAGAAAAUCUUGGCGUUGCUGUUCCCGAAAUCAGAUCUCCUGAGAAAUUUGUCUCGAACAAAGAUCAUAAGCCUAUGUACAAGAAGAUGAAACAGGUAGUAAUAUCUCACACAUUGCAGGUUUUAGGGUAUUCGAUUUUGUUAGAACGCUUUUAAUUCAUUUUACUUUUGGGCAGAUUUCAGAUACGACUCUCAAUGAAUCACUUCCUUCUGGUAAAUCCUCUUGUUAAACUUAUGGGGAAUAUGGAAAGUCUCUUAGCUGUUGAUGAGAUUAUGUUGUAACCUAAGCUUGUUUGCUUCUCAGAACCUCUUGAUAUACGUAAUUGGUUCUCGAGCUACGUCUAUGAAUCGCCGGUGCUGGAUACAAGUGAUGGUCUUGAAUAUUCGAUUCCUGGAGAGAGUGAACGUGUAAAGGAGACGCAAACAGAAGAAGAGGCAACAAAAAUUGAUGGAAACGAUGUUUGUCCUAGGUUAUCUGAGCAAGAACUUGCCUCUUUUGCAAAGGUCUUGCUAUUAAACUCCUGACUUUUUACUUUUUAUGCCAUAGUUACAUCAGCUGGUUUUCUAAUAUAAAUAAUAAAUCUGUGUUCUCUUAGCUCUUAUUGUUUCUCAAUCUGGCUGACGAAUUAGUCUGUUUGCAGGUUUCAGAUUUCUCUCAGUCGCAGUCUGUUCUUUCGGGUGAGUAAAGCCAGUUGUUUGUUACAUAUAAUGUUACUAUCUGUUUGCUUUGAUGAAAUGUGUUAUUAAUAAGUUGUCUCAGGAUUAUAGUUAAGUACGCCAGAAGUUGAAUCUUACUUGUUUUAUCAGAGCCUCCUGAUGUCAGAAACUGGUUUCCCAGCUAUGAGUAUCAAUCUCCUCAGCUUACAGAUACUCAUGAACUUGAAUUUCAUUCUUCUGGGAAAGACCAAUUAAUCAUUAACGAGAGUGACACAGAGGAAGAAACUAGCUGUGGUAUUUUCCGAAAAACUAUGAGCAAGCAAGAGAAUGUUUCUACUAGCAAGUUAAGUUCAGAUGACUGCAAGGAAAACAUAGCUGCAGACACGGUAGGUCAUGUUCUUGAACCUUCUAGACAAAGGGAAAUCAUUGUAGUUUAAAGAAAGAUGACUCUGGGGAUCACAACAAAUUAUAUUAAACCAGUUGUCAGUUAUUAUCGCACAGUUUAGUUUUGGCUUUUAAUUCUGUGUUCUCUCGCUGACUUUUUCUCAAUUGCACAGUUUAGUUUUGGCCUUUAAUUCUGUGAGCUCUCACUGACUCUUUCUCAAUUGUACAUGUUAGACCAAUGAGGUCUCCUCAGACAACCAAGAAAUGGAAAAGAAGUCAUCAGUUGGAUUAUUCAAUGACUCAACGAAAGAAGUGAAACAAGAAUCAAGCUUAGAGCAAGAACCAGUAUUCUGUGAACCAAGGUGUAGUCCUCGAAUUUCCCGGUACAACCCAGAGCCGCAAUUUCCCUUGAAGAACGAAGCUUCUUUACAUGAGCUGAGACUGCAACAUAUCCAAGAAACCAUUUCCAUGAGCUCUAGUAGACAAAAGUCUCCAAAAAAGACCGCUCAGAAGGCUUGUCUAGAUGAAAACUUGGAGUCAGUAGACCAAGAAUCAGAUGACAAGGAAAAUGCUGACAGGAAAAGCACUGAAACUGGAUUUGUGACGAUGAAAAGGGCGAGAUUCAGAGAAGCAAGAGACCGAUGUUCCAUGACUAAGCCAAAUAGAGGAGUUCUAAUGGGGUGUUCGAGAGGUGAAGAGUUAAAGAACAUAGCUGGGGAGGAAGACAAAGAAGAAAGAAAGAAGAAGAGAAGAGUUUUGGGGGAAAUGUCGAAUCACCAGUUCUCUGGAGCCGAGGAGAUUGCAGGAAAAUGGCAUUGCCCUCAGAGAAACAAAGGGAAAUCAGGUCCACCAUUGAAACAGCUCCGACUUGAUGCAUGGGUACAUAAAGUCUGAGUCUUUAAGAAGGCUUCAGGUUUCAUCAACAAUGUAUCGCAUUCUUUCCCUCUCUUUUUGUGUUUUUCCAUAUUAUGCUCAAACUGGUAGAUAACACAGACCGGAUCAGACCAAAACUAAUUCAUUUAGAUUCCUUUUAAAUACACUAUUUGAAACCCGAACCGAAACCCCCAAAAAAACCUGAAUCAGAUCCAAGAACAUUCGUAUUUGGAUAAGCAUUGACCAUUGAGUACUAAACAAAGAAAAGACAUAAAGCCUUCUUUUUUCAAAGGGAAGGUUUUUUUACCUAAACUGCUUGCACCGGGGCAAAAAACAAAAUACAACAGUUCAUAAAUUAUUUCUGGACCCGGAGAAGUUUUUCUUCAGACUCUGCAUUUUUUAGCUAAAAAAGGAAAAAGGUUUUUAAAAAUCAAAACUUUGGAGGGUUCACGGGUCAGAUACGGUGAAGAUGAGCUUCUUCAAGUAUCUCCGCCGAGACAGUUUGCUCCAAUUAGCCGGAUUACCAUCUCUCAGCCGAAACUGCAUGCAUCAGACCUGCCGGUCUCUCAUCAUUGAAACCGCUCCGCCUGAAUCUGUCAAGCUUAACCGUCUCUCUGGUUCCGAUUCUGGUAAUUUUACUUUUCAUUUUUUCCUUAUCGAAUUGGUGUGUUUUAUGGGUUCUAUUUGUUUCAGCUUAACUGUAAUGGCUUUUGCUGAGCAAUUUGAGUAGUUCCUUGUAUCUGUUAGGGUUCAUUAAUACCCUUUUUUCCUGGGUUGAUUGUGUUCGACUUCUCUCUGUUAUGCUGUUUGUUUCUCUAGCUAAACCGUUAGUCACCAGUUCUUAUUAUUUCUGGUAAUUUGAUCUCGUCCUGAAAAUAUUUGUUCAUUUAGUUUCUUAUUUGAAGUUUGAAUGUCUGAGCAUAGUUAUUGUCUGAUCAAUGUGUCGUUUCUCUAAUGUUCUGGUGACUUUUUGAGUUUACACCUAAUCAUUGCAGAAAUAGAAAUCACAUGAAGGAAAGAUGACAAAUGCACUAGUGUGUAUAUGUAUUACAGGGAUUAUCGAGGUCAAUCUAGACAGGCCUGUGGCCAAAAAUGCCAUUAAUAAGGAGAUGCUGAAAAGUCUCCAGAACACAUUUGAGACCAUACAUCAGGAUAGUUCCGCUAGGGUUGUGAUGAUCAGAAGUCUGGUUCCAGGAGUUUUCUGUGCAGGUGCAGAUCUGAAGGUAGUUUUCCCACUGUAAUUUCUUCUGGAAUGUUGGCAUUCAAUAUGCUAGCCAUGUUUGAAAAUCUCUGUUUUUCUUUAUUUGUUGUGAUGUCAGGAACGUAGAACUAUGAGUCCAUCUGAGGUUCACACAUAUGUCAACUCGUUGCGCUACAUGUUCUCGUUCAUUGAGGUACUAUGCUCAUAUAUCCUUGUUGGUUCUCAUAGAUUAGAUUAGCUGCUACCCUCAUUCGUGAAAAGAUUGUUCGGUAAAGUUAAUUGUCAAUUUAAGUAUGUUUGGCAUUAAUCUAUACAAAGUUUCUCAUCAAAUCGUUAGGAAGAACUUCUACAUUUGUAGACUUAGCUUUACUUUCUCAGGAUUCGGAAUUUAAUUGUCUUUAAUAUUACAAAACAGAAGAGAUAUGGAUAGUGCUUUUUUAGGGAUAUAUGAAAAUUAUUUGAAGUACUUGUUUAAUUAUUCUCCGCCCGAGCUUCAUGUAUUCUUUUAUUUCCAUGUAAAAGCUUUAGGAUUUGAGUCUUCAUGAGAUUGGCAUAUGCUAUAGUGACUUUGAAGACUUUUGUUUUCUAGGCACUGAGUAUCCCUACUAUUGCUACAAUAGAAGGUGCAGCACUGGGAGGUGGACUUGAAAUGGCUCUAUCCUGUGAUCUUCGAAUCUGUGGUAAUUUUUUCAUAUCUUGUUAAUUUUUUUUAAUUGUAAUCUACAUGCCAAGAUGAGAAAUUAUUGUAAUACUCCGAAUUUUUUUCAGGCGAAAAUGCAGUAUUUGGCUUGCCUGAAACAGGGCUCGCUAUAAUCCCUGGGUACAGAAUAAGCUUCAUUACUCUUGAUAAAAAGAUUCUCUUAUCAUCACCCUUUCUAUUAGUGUUGUGAUGAUUUCUUUCUCUUGGCUAUUAAAGGGCUGGUGGGACACAGAGGCUCUCGAGGCUGGUUGGGAGAUCGGUAUCAAAGGAACUCAUAUUCACAGGUCGAAAGAUUGAUGCAAGAGAAGCUGCACACACAGGUCUUUGACUAUUAAAGUUGCAUUUCUCAUAAUGAUUCGUGAUCUUGUUUUUUGAUAUAUACUUAGAUAAAAGAUGAUUCAUAUGCUCUCUUUUGUGUGUGUGUGUGUGUGUGUGUGUGUGUGUGUGUGUGUGUAUGUUGCAGGGCUUGUGAACUUUUGUGUUACGGAGGGUGAGGCUCAUAAGAAAGCAAUUGAAAUUGCUCAGCAGAUAAAUGAAAAAGGUCCAAUGGCUAUAAAAAUGGCGAAGAAAGCGAUUGAUGAAGGAAUAGAGACGAAUAUGGCUUCAGGUUUGGAGGUAGAAGAGAUGUGUUAUCAGAAGCUUCUUAAUACCGAAGAUCGUCUUGAAGGAUUAGCUGCUUUUGCUGAGAAGCGUAAGCCUUUUUACACUGGCAAGUAAAAGAUCUUUAUCUAUUUAAUUUCAAAAAACCGGGGGAGAUUACCAUUGAAUUGGAUGUUAAUAACCGGGGAUAGUUUCGGAUCACAUAAUGUGUAUGACACAGAAAAGAAGGAAAUAAAUAUCACUGUUAGUGUUCGUGCAUUCAUGGACUUGAUAAUUGGUUAUACUUUUUGCAUAUAUUUUAAGCUAAUGGAACGUUUACUUGAACUUUGUUUCAUAAGUUUUAAUUACCCAUACGUCAUCUGAUCUCUAGUAGUUGCAGAAAUGUUAUUUGCAGUGUUAAUAUAUCUAAUAACUUUGCUAAGCAACGUUGUGCAUAAAAGUAUUAUACACACUAUUUCCUUGAAAGAUUUGAAAGUCUAAAAGUAAAAAUGGGAAAAAAUGGUUUGGAGUCAGUAAAAGUAGCCGACCAGUGAUCCACCGACCCAUCAAAGUGGUGCCAAAAUGAUGUGUUGAUGAUUAGACUCUUUUUCCAAUUUGACGUGUCAAAGUUAUCUCAGUGAUUCUUGACUAAAUCAUAAACACUGAAUUUGCAUGAAAAAACUAAUGUUUCUAUUUAUCAAAACAAAAUUAUUAAGAACCAUUAUAUUUUAGUGAUUAAAUCAACAAUGCAAAGAUUAUGGACACUCGUAACUCUAAGCGAUAGGAAUUUAUUUAUGGAAUAGUGUAGCACUUAUAAAUAACUGUUAACCUAAAAUCAAUAAAUAGCUGAGGUUUAAAAUCAGUGAAGACUAAAUUAUAAUGAAUUCAAAAACAAUAAACUUCAACAACAUAAGAAUAGGAUAAAUUCGGUUCUUGUUAUUCCUUUUAUGGAUUUUAAAGUUCAUUAUAUUCAAAAGGUAUAGAUGCUUUGUGGACAAGUUCGGUCUUGAUGAAAGAAAAAGAAUCGUUACUAGUAUUUAUUAGUCUUCUCAGGUCCGGUGAACAAAAUCAAAUGUGUUAGAUCUAGUACUUAAGUGUCUUAUUUUUUUAAAAACAUUGAUUUUGUUAGUAAUAGUUGUUUACUUUAAUGUUUUAAGACAGCUGCUACGUAAGAAGAAAGCUUUAGCGUAACCAGACCAAAAGAAGGGAAUCCAGAUUCUUCCGGGGUCAUAUGCCUACGCGACCUCUGCGAUAUUCUUUAAAUGAUCAAUUAAUUACCCCUUAAUUAUUCUACACUUAACACUUAACAAGUUUUAUAAUCUGCUCCCUUUUCUGCAUUACCCGACCAAGAUUAUCGGGUUCAUAAUUUUUGGCCUUGUUACGAAAUUGUAUUUUCGAAAUGACUGUGUUUUCAUUUUAACCAAGUCGAUAACUUUCAAGUGGGGAUUCUUGGGUUCGAAUCGCUUUGGCCACCUAACCGCAUUUUAAAUUUGGAAUAUUUUCGAACGCGUACUUGGAUGCAAGGCCUCAUACUCGGAUGCAAGGCCUCGUGAAAUUAGUCUUUGAGCCUAGAAAACCUUUGAAAUCCCAUUAUUAAAUUAAAAAAAAAAAUGACUGUGUUUUCAUACUUACGCUUAACAUUAUAGCAAAAAAACAAGAAAAAGAAUUUUAACUGAUAUAUCAGAUACUCUACUUUGCCCUAUAUACUAUAUGGAAAAUUUCUAAGUAAAUUUUGUUUUUUUUUUUUUAAGUGAAUUUAUACUUUCUAUGUCUAUCCGUCUCAUAGAUACUACACACUUUUCAACCCAAAUAUGAGUUUUAUUUAGAUUUUAAACUUCUUAUAACUAAGUAAUAUAAGUUUUAGUCUGAUUUGAAAUGAUAUAAUUCAUUAUUUGAUAAAAUUACUAAUAUGUUAUUUAAAAAAUACUCUGUUUUUAUUUGUUCCAUUAUAUUAAGUAAAGCAAUUUCUAUGGACUUUUGUGUUAAGACCAAACGAAUCUAAAUGGUAUAUAUUUUUUUUAAAGUAUCUUAAAUUUCGUCUAAUUUUUAAAAAUAGUUAUAUUUUCCAUUUUUUAAUUUUUGUAUUCAUACAUUAUGUCCAAAAUAUAUUGAAUUCCGAUAAUAAUAAUAUAACAGUAAUAUAAACACCACAAAACUACAAAUUUUCAAUGUAACAUUUGGAUCUUAAAACCGUAUCAAUUUUUAAUAGGGAUAGCGAUUCUCCAAUCGCUGUCAAUCUUCAUAAAUAACGUUAGAAUUAGGUGAUUAACUGUACUAUGUAUGAAAUAAAUAUUAAUUAUAAUUUUUUUAUUCGAAUAUAUAAAUAUAAUGUAUAUAAAUACAACUAUAGAAAUAUUAGCUGAUAUUAAAUGUCGUUUAAAUUUUAAAAAUAGUUAUACCAUCCUUUUUUUAAUUUUUGUAUUCAUACACUACAUCCAAAAAUUGAAUUCCAAUAAUGAUAUUAUAACGGCACAUAUAAACACCACAAAACUACAAACUUUCAAUGUAACAUUUGGAUCUUAAAACUAUAUCAGUUUCAAGUAGUGAUAGUGAUUCUCCAAUCGCUGUCAAUCUUCAAAAAUAACGUUAGAAUAGUAUUAGAAACCAAAACUAUUGGGAGUGAAUUCACACAUCAACUUGGAUUUCAGAUUUUGUUCUCUUCAAUCUCUUUUUUUUUCUUCUUACAUUUUCAAAAAAUAACAAAAGAAAGAAAAAAAAAAAAAAAGCAGAACUUAACCUCUAAGUCUUAGCAUUUCCACUAUUAACUUCUUCCAAAUCCUCUUUCAUCACCAAACUAAAAGAACCUUUACGACACUCACUUUCUCUCUGAUGGUGGAAGCAAGAAGCUCCAAGAAAACCCAAUUGGGUAAUAAAGAAGAUCAUAACCCUAGAAAAUUCUACUCUCGAUUCCUCUUCAAAGCUCUACUCCUCGCCGUUUUUUGCGCCAUCGUACCGAUCUUCCUUUCUCAGACGCCGGAGCUCGCUAACCAAACCGGACUCCUCGAGCUUCUCCACCUGAUUUUCGUCGGCAUCGCCGUCUCUUACGGCCUCUUCAGCAGCCGGAACUAUGACGGAGGAGGAGGAGACGGAUCAAGCAAUAACGAUCACAAAGCUGAUCAUAAUAAUACUAACUCGCAUUCCUAUGUGCCUAAGAUUCUUGAAGUAUCCUCUGUUUUCAACGUUGAUCAAGAGAGUGAAUCUGAGCCGUCCGAUGAUUCCUCCGGCGACCACCGUAAGUUUCAGACAUGGAGGAACAAGUACCACAUGAAAACCCCCGAUGUUGUUCUUUCCAAAGAUCACGAGACUCGUUUCGUCGAUCGAGUUAGUUCUGAAAUCAGAGAAAAGCCUCUGCUUUUGCCUGUUCGCAGCUUGAAUUAUUCGCGGGUUUCUGAUUCCGGCGAUCACUCCGGUCGAUGGGAGAAAGUGAGAUCAAAGAGACAACUCCUCAAGAGUCUCGUUGAUGAUAACAGUGAUGUGCUUCCUUCACCGAUUCCAUGGAGGUCAAGAUCAUCUUCAUCAUCAUCAUCUUCAAAAGAGAUCGAAUCUCAGCCGUCGGUUAAGAAGCUGGGUACAGUUGAAUCACAGCCGUUGAUCAAGACUCAGGCGAAUCUGACACCAUCUUCCUCUUUCUCUUCUUCACCGAGAAAGUCGACGCCUUUACCUAAGCCCACAUCAGAGUCUGGAGCGAAAUCGGCGGAAAUCGUGAAAAGGCAGGAAUUUCUCGAAUCACCGUCACCUCCUCCUCCACCGCCGCCUCCGCCGUUACCGGCGUUUUAUAACUCGGCGUCGAGAAAGGAUUAUCCUCACGGAAUUUACAGGACUGGAUCAAGAGAAUCAGCUCACAAGACGAAAUUUACAGGCGGUGAGUUUCAUCCUCCGCCGCCUCCGCCGCCACCACCUCCGGUGGACUAUUACAAGUCGCCUCCGACAAAAGUCAGAGUAAGCAGCAGCGAACGGAGAAAAUCGUCGGAGCAAAAGAUGAAAUUGGAUGACUAUUCAGAAAAAAGAAACUCUCCUAAAAAGGUUUGGUGGUCUGAUCCAAUCGUGGAAUCGAAGGAACAUAGAAUUAUCAGACAAGACACGGAGAAGAACGAUCGAAGAAGUUUCUUGGGAAGCAAGGCGAUUGAGGAAUCGGAGGAUGAAGAACAUAAAAGAGAAGAAAACGAAACCCACGACGAUGAUGAGAAGAAGAAGAUAGAAGAGGAAGAAGAAGUUAGUGGGAACAACAGUGACGUGGACAAGAAGGCUGAUGAGUUCAUUGCCAAGUUCAGAGAACAGAUUAGGUUACAAAGAAUCGAAUCCAUCAAGAGAUCUGCUAAUAAGAACUCUGUCAAUUCUUCGAGGUAGAACGUACGUAUUUAUAAAUAUUUAAGAACGUAAAGAGUAGAAAACAUUUUCAAUUUACUCUGGUUAUCAUCAUAAGAUUGUAAUUUUAAGGGGAAGAAGACAUAUUUUUGUUAUCUUUGUUCUUCAGACAGAACAAAAUAGGAACUUGGAACUCAGAUUGAUUACCUCUCUUUCUUGUUUCUGGAUUUUCGCAUGAAAGACUUUUUAGUGUCAUAAUAACAUUUAGUGUUGGGCUAAGUGGGUGGAUAAGAAGUGGCCCAAAUGGCAUAUAUUCAGCCCAUACUCAUGUAAAGGACAACAAGGGACUGUAUGACAGUAUGAGUAUGACCAUAUAUGGUAAUCUCCUCGUCAGUUGUAAGUUGAAAACAUACAAACACACCAGCAGAUUUGGGCCCAUACAUGUAUUUUGAUUAAUUCAACUAGUCGUUGUUAGUUGGGUGAAAGUAAGCGCCUUUGAUUAAUUCUUGUUUGUUUGGGUGAAACUGAGAUGAAUAUUAUCAGGCCCCAAGCUAUACUAGUUCAAAACCUCAAACACAAGAUUAUUUUUAGUUAGAUCCUUUUUUAACUAAAGUUGCAUUCAUUGUAAAAACAGUUUUUUUUUUGGGUUCGAAAAUACUUUUAUAUUCAAUUCAAAAAAAAAAAAUAUAUAUAUAUAUAUAUAUAUAUAUUAUCAGAUCCCAAAACUCUUGAUUUAACCAAUAACUAGAUUUUACCCCGUGCAUCCGCACGAAAUUUUUUUUAGUCAAAAAUUGUAACAUAAUUUAUGUUUUCUUUAUAGAUUUAUUUUUUCUAAUAAGUGACAGAAAUUUACUUUUGCAUUUAAUUAUAAUUUUUUUUAAUUUUUUUUAGUAUUAUUAUGAUCACUAUCAUAAAAUCAUAAUUCUAACCCGAUCAUUUUAUUAACUGAAAAAUAACUAUUAUUAUAAAAAUAUAUUUCUAAGUCGUUCAUUUAUUAAUCCGAAAAGAAUCAUGGUUAAAAGACCAUAAUUCUAACCCACCUGUUUAUAUUACUAUAUAAUAUAAAUAUUUACUAAUUUUAAAAUAAUUUUUAUCUUAAUAUUCUGCAUGUUUUGAUAACAUAAUCCGUAUAAGAGCACAAUUAUAAAAAAUACAUAACUCAUCCCAUCAAAUUACUAUAUAAUAUUAAUAUUUAUCAUUUUUCAAUGCGUGAAAUUUUAGUUUGAUUGAAUAUGAUUGGACAAAAAUAAUUUGUUAAUCAUAUAUGUGUUAUUUUGAAAUUAUUUAAAUUUUAAAUGUUAAAUCAAAUCUAACAUAUAUUAAAAAAAUUAUAGAGUAAUUUUAAUUAAUAUCUAUUUUUCAAAAAAUAAAUAGUUUAAAAUUUAAAGCAAAUAUGAUGUAUAUUUAAAGAAAUCUUUAGAUAUAUAAACUAAUAUCAAUUUUUCAGAAUAAAAUUUAUAUAUAAAAAUAUGUUUUUAAAAUAAUAUUGCAAUAAAAUAAGAUAAUCUUAAAACAGUUUCUAAACAAUUUUUUUUAAAAAAAAAACUUUGAGAGUGUUUGGAUGCAAGCACUAAAAGUGCUUCUGUUUUAAUAGAAUAUCUUUUCAUAGUAAAUACUUGAACGCUUAAAUUUAAAGGAAAAAAAAAAGAGUAAAUGUGUUAAUCAGACCCCAAGAUCAAAUACAUAAAAAUGUUUGUUAUGCACUGACCAAAGAAAUUGUUAUUCACCAAGACUAGAAUCGGCUCCUUUAACCCGUGGAGCCAUCGGGUUUGCAUUGGCCAAGAAAUACUUGGAUAAGAUAGACAUGGUAACAAGUAAAGAGCUGAAGUUAAGUUGUCGAGACACCGUAGAAAGAAAGUAGUGGUUCCAAAUAGAAGAAAUCGCGGAUGCGUCAGAAUAUACAAUAAAACUUCUAUAAAUUAAUAAUGUCGGGACCACGAUAUUUUAUUAAUUUAUCGUAAUAAUAAUUUAUCUAUAAAUUAAUAAAUUAUUAAUUUAUAGAGGAAAAUUAUUCUUCGUCCAUUUUUUUCUUAAAUUUUCUUUCAUUGGUGCUAUAUUUAAGAAUCUAAACCCAUAUGCUUAUAAAAUAAUAUGCACAAACUUAAAAUUAUGAUUAAUAAUCAUAGCAAUCGCAAUAGAAUAGUUAUUUCUAUUUGUUAAUUGUGAACUGGAUUAUCUAUGUAAGAAUAUAAAUGUUCAUUAGUACAAAAUUUAUAAAACAUUAUGGCUACUAUCCUUAACGUUGGUGCUGAAACUGAAGACAAUACCUAAUAUAUUUCAAAACAGUUACGCUAAAAAAAUCAAUAUCACAUCUAAAGUUUUAAAAAAUAACAUUAUAUAAAAGAUAUUGAUGUAAACAAGUAAAGAGAUGAUUUUCAAUAAAAUAUCAAAUUUAAAUAAAUUCAAAUAACAUAUUAAUCAUAUUUUAGUAUAUAUUAUCUUACCUAUAUAUACAUAAAUUUAUAUAAUUAUUAAUUUAUAUUUUUGUUGGGACCAUAUUUUUACAAAGGGGUUUCUAAUAAAAUUAUUAUCUUAUUAUCUUAUCGAAUUUGACGGAUUUUUACACUAGUCCCGACUCGGGACCAGAGAAAUUUAUUAAUUUAUAGUGAUUAUUAAUUUAUCGAGUAUUAAUUUAUAAAAGUUCAACUGUAUUAAGUUACAAAUUAGCAGUAUGCACAUUGCAUACAGAUGUUUUUUUUUGUCGUCCAAUGAUAACAUAUAGAUAUAUAUAUAUAUAUAAACCUGUUUUAGAAAGGCCAUAUAACUUUACAUAGAGCAGAAACAUUGUUGAUAAUGAGGUAAGUCGGUGAAAAAUUCAAGAACUUGAUUUAAGUUUAGAACUAUAUGGAGAUAAACUUUCACUACACACUUAAUGCUACCACCUAGCCGAUCAACCAUCUCGUGGGCCUCUUGGCCAUGGAAAGUCGAUCUUGAAUAGACCAACAAAGAUCUUCUCAUUUUAACUAUUAACAACAACAACAAUUGCUGAAUAUAUUAGAAAUUUCAACUAUUUUAACUUACUAUUUAAUAUUUUUAACAUUAUCGCUUAUGCCAAGUGAAAUGAUAUAAGACCAUUAUAUUUUGUUUAAAACGUACUUGUCUGUUUGUCACUAGACACUAAUCUAUUCUAUUCAACAAAUCUUAUUUUUGAUAUUCAACAAAAACAUUUAAUUCUGAUAGUUGUCGAAAAUAAAUAUGGGACAAUAAAUAUUGCAGCAAAAAAAACUAUGGAAACUCUUUCAAGCAAUAAAUGUAUAUCGGAUAAUUGGCUGUCAACAUUUGUUGUUACUUGUUAGCAUGAACACGAUGGUUUUAAGGGAGAAAAAUAAUCUGUUUUUUCUUUUUUUCUUUCUAAAAAUAGUACAUACAUGUUAACAACUACAUGCAUAUCUUGGUCCCCCUGAAAACGAGUAAAAAUGACCGAAAUGCCCUUUAGUUGCAAAACUAAAAAGACUAAGACCGAGGACGAAGAGCGUCAAACGUCAAGCCGUGAGAAAUCCUCGUAGCAGGAGCCCACGCAUUGACCUGCAAUGACCGGUGGUGGUGUGCUGACGUGGCAGCCUGAGAUGAUGGUGGUGGUGGUGGUGGUGGGACCGACACGUGUUCACACGAAGGGCACAUGGUCAAAGUGGUGGGUGGGUUCAUGUGCAUGUAGAACUGAGGAGAGAGCUUAAGCGAUCUUAACUCCGUUACUUCUUUCUGUAGCCGACGAUUCUCUUCCGUUAGAUUCUCGCAGCAUCGCCGUAAGAACUCGCAGUCAACCUCCGUUUGCUUCAGCUUUGUCCUGUUGAAAAUUACCAAUAUACCCUUAUAAGUAAUUAGGGGCAAAUCAGGGAAAUAAAAGAGAUCUGAGUGUGUGUGCGUGUGUUUUCUUUUUUCUUACCUUGCUCUUCUGUUCUGAAACCAAACUUCCACUUGUCUUGCUCUUAAUCCUAAUUGCUUAGCCAACGCUUGCUUCUGUUUCUGUUAAAAACAAAAAUUAAAUUGACCUUGAUUCAGUUAAAAAUUUUGUAAACGCAAAUUUACAAACUAAAUAUUAAUAGCUGCAUUAAUUGACUCACCAAAAAGUCAAAAACUAAUGUACUAACAGUCAUGUUAAUUGCGAAUAUUCACUAUGAGCGUUUUUUUUCCGAUUCCAGAAACCACUAUUCCAUGGCCAAUAUUUUCCCGGGAAAACCAAAAUUUUCUCCAGGUGAGAAAAUAGGUAAAAGAAAAAAAAUUUACCGGAUUGAGAGUACUGUGAUCUUUGAAGGUCUCUUCGAGAAUAGCAGAUUGAUCUUUGGAGAGUCUAAGCUUCUUCCUCGAAUUAUCACCGUCUUCAUCGUCACUGAUCCCCCUUGAUCCUUGCGGAUCUGUAUCCUCUUCUCUCUCACUCCUUUUUCCGGUGGAGCUUGAGACUGUGCUGUUAGGAGAAGAUACUCCGGCGUCUUCAUCUCCGUAUUCCGCCGUUGACGGUGGUCUGUUCACGUCGAUUCCACGGAUGAAUGUUCUUGUUUCUACACGACUUGAAUCUGAGUUGGGUACUGCAUGCAUAAGAUUGAAAGUAUAAAAAAGGUGAGGUUUUGAUUGGUUUUCCGGGAAAAUGGUUUUUUUUUUCCCUCAUAGGAAAGUGAAAACAGAGAAACUCAUAAAGCUAUGGUGUACCUGAAGAAUUAAAACUCUCGUUCAAAGAUGAUCUUCGGAGUAAUCCAAAAGAGGAAGAAGAUGGAGUAAGAGAAACAGAGGGAUUGGAUUUGAGAUUCAUCUGUUUCUUGGGAAAAUUUAAGCCGAGGCUCAGACCCAGAUCAUCUUUCUCCAACAUCAUCUUCGUUUUGCAGCAAAGUUUUCUGCUUUUCUUUUGAGAGAGAAAGAGAGGGAGAGAGAGAGAGGAGAGAUGAUGAAUGGCAAACAAGGAAGAAGACUGGUUAAUAUAGAGAGGUAGAGAGAGAGAGAU
Molecule: long non-coding RNA, 62139 nt
Filed under: Eutrema salsugineum
Lineage: Eukaryota; Viridiplantae; Streptophyta; Magnoliopsida; Brassicales; Brassicaceae
Description: long non-coding RNA (ESAL_LNC002135)
Source: RNAcentral